AGUAAUGAUUUCGGAUUCGUGUUUAAAGGGAUUUUUGAAGGGAAGGUAAAUUGGUACCAGCAAGGAAUCAAGGAAUCAUCAUUAUGUUUUUGGUUUCGAAAGAAAUUCCCUCAGAUAGCUCUAUGUUGUGCUGGAGAACCUCCUAUGUAUAAAGACAAUAUGCUGUUGGAUUUCAAGUUGAGUGUACUCAUCAAUGGCACUAAGCAAUUCACUUCUUCAUGUAACUACAUAUUUUCUGCAGGAAGCAAAUCAGACCAAAUACUUAUGUGUGAUUUAGUGGGCCUAGCGGAAAGAUCAUUUUUAGAGCAUGAAUGGAAUAAAGUAGAGAUUUUAUAUGAGUUGAAAUAUCCUAUUCCACGUGGACUUGAAAGGAUAAUGGCUAACCAUGACAGGACCACAACAAGAAACCCAAGUUGGUCUCUCAUUUAUGUCAGUGGAGAUAUCAAAGAGGAUGUCAAAUUUCUGUCUGAGUUUAUGGAAUGCAAGGAGGCUGAGAGAAGAAAGGAAACACUAUUGGGUUUUCACCAUAUGCUCAAGCGUUAUGGAUUCAAUUGGACUGGGUUUUGAUCGAAAAGAUCAAAUGUGGUCUAAUUUUAAUUUUCUUAAAAUACCAAGUUACUUUGAAAGAGUUGUUUUUAUCCCCAUCUUUGUCUGAAAACCGAUCCCCCGUUCUAGAGAAGCAAAAAAACCAUUUUUUCCGGGUUCACUCAUUAAGAAGUGGAAAAAAUAGUGUUUCUUGUCCAUCCGGAACAGGACUUCCGGAUGGAAUCAGUUUUCAAACAAAGGUGUGGGGAAAUAAAAACAGCUCACUUAUUUUGAUUCAAGAUGUAAACUCCAUCUAAUUCAAUUGAAAUCAUGUUAAGCUCAACCAAUUUUUUUUUUUUAUUAUUAUUCUUUGACAUAUAACUUAAUCAAAAUAUAAAAAUGUAAUCUAAUCAAACCAAAUUAACUUAAUCUAUAAAAUCUUUCAAAAAAUACCAAUUUAGACGGUAUAAAUUUUUUAGCUUUAUUAUAUUACUACUGUGAUUAUACUAUGAUUCAUUUUAAAGUUUAAGUUACAUCGGCUUUUAUAUUUGUAUUUGAGAAUUGAUUUGAUUGGAUUAUUUCUUUUGUUUUUAUUAUUAUUCAACUCAGCCUUUCUUAUUUUGAUAUGUACCAAAUAAAACAACAAAACUCCUUAUUUUGAUGGUAUUAUGUUGGAUUUAGACACCAAUAGGGAUAUUUUGAGUUUAAACAUCUCAAGUUGAUGUGUUUGUAUUAGAACAAAGAUUUAGCUGUCGAUCGGAAAUAUCAAAAUAUUAUGUCAAAUGAUACAUGAACGAGGUACCACUUACAUUCAUUAAAUAUCAGUGUUGCCACCCAUUUGGAUUCCACAAGGCUCGAGGGAUUAGUCUCCGCAGUUGCGUGCGAGGAGGAUACCUGAUUUACGCCAAAAAAAAUAUAUGAUAAUCAUGGUAAAUAAUAAAAUGGUCUAGAUUUUUCAAUAGGUUCCAUUUUUUUUUGUUUCACAGAUUUUUCAAUAGUCAUCUUUCCAGGAUUGUGAUUGUAUUGUGUGCUAAGUUGUUUUGAGGCUGUUCUGCUUCUGGUUGCUAUGCUACAAGCUUGUAGCAUACCAAAGUAUACCAGCAACUGUGAUGGAAGGUUUUCCACCAUUCACUCAAUCCAUUUGACCGACCAGCAGCAUGGUAGGUAACCCUCCAACAUGAAGGUCAGCUAUAGGCAGGUUGAUCAACAUCCCGACUUCUAGCAACCCUCUGAUAUAUAGGCCUGCUACAUCCAAACCAACCGAUGGGUUGGCUACCGACAACUCUCUAACCAACUACCGAUAGGCCUAUGGCCUAGCGCUUAACAGAUUUGGUGUCAAACAGACUAACAGAAAAUGACCUGACUGCCAAGAGCGAUCUCGUCAACAAAAUGGGUACUGACAGUCAAGGGCCAACCGAGAACCGUGCAAGUCCCGGCAGCCUGAGUCCUGAUAUUGUAAUUAAAUUAUUUUAAAAUAUAUUUAUGGGUGGAAUGGAUAUCCAUCCAUAUAAAUAUUGUAAUUGAUAGAUUAAUAGAUGGUUUCAGUUAAACCAUCAUAAUCCAAUCGAAUUUUUUUGUAAAUCAUCUAUUUCCCUAAUACAAGAAAUCAACCAAACCGAAGUGAAAUAUUCAAAAUUGAAUUGAUCCAGUGUAAAAAAAAAAAAAAAGAAGCAAUAGUUACAGUUCAGAACUCAAGGCAAAUUAGAGAAAGUAAUUUAGUAGUUACUUGAUUGAAGAUAGUCGCUUUGAAAUCAGCUUUCUCAAACACGGAUUGGAGGCUUGGAGCUUGUGAAAAAGAACUCCUAUCAUGUAACUGAUAUACAACAGAUUCAUGGUGCAGUAAAUUCUUGCUUCCUAUUAUAAGAGUGAAAAGGUUCAAUAUGUUGACAACCUCUUGGAAGACUUCGAUGAAAGUUAUUGAAAAAUUGUGCAUUGCUCCACAAUUUUUGCGAUGCACAUUCUAGUCGAAACGAGUUAUUCAAUGCUUGUGAAUGCUUUUUCUCAGCUUAUGUUUUUCACGAUGAUUGGAACUCUUAUCACUUCUGUGAUAUGAAGGCUUUUCUCUGUUCUGUUGGCGCACAUCAAUCUCAGCAUGUUCAGAACCAUCAGGCGUGCCGCGAUGUUUUUCUUUGAUCCUUCUACUUCGACCAUCCUUUUCAACAUCAGAAUCAUCGGAAGAAUAAGAAUGCUCAGCUCUUCUCUUCUGACUUUCAUGUUUUUCUUUGAUCCUGCCUUCUACUUCAACUAUACGUUUCAAAAUCAGAAUCAUCAGAAGAAUAAGAAGACCAAGUUUUAGUUAAGAGUAGAUUAUUUAUCCUUUAGAUUGUACAAUGCAUAUUCAAUCUCUGUGGUUGUGAAUUUUUAAUGAUUUUAAGAACAAUCUUAAGUACUAAGUUAGAAGUUAGGCUCAUCACUAAAUGUUACAGCAAAAACAGAACUUUCCAUCUAUAUAAUUUCUUUCCAUUAUAAAAUAUACAUUUUGAUUAUCCAAAGCUAUACUUCACAUGUUAUUCUUGGUGCUCCCCAAGUAUACCUGUCCGUAAUUGUCGGUUAAUGUCAUCAAAUUGGUCUUAAGUAGACGAAACUGAUUGCAUUGCUCAACAUAUAUGUGUCAAUCUGAUGUAACCUAUAAUGGUGUGGUCUAACGUGAUCGUGCUAAACUUUUGUAGACUAGAAUGCAUGUUCACUCUGCUUAAUAUAUUGACAGCUUCAUUCACACUUGUGUUAUAUCAGUCUUUGCUUUUAGUCUCUGUAUAUUUUUGUUUUGCUUUAUACUCUGAAGCAUAAGAAAAUUAGCAUUUAGUCCUUUUUUGGCUUUAAUCUUUCAAAUAUUUGUCUAGUGUACAGGAAUUGAUAUCUAUGUAUGUACCACUUGAUGAAUGGUUCACUUGUUGUUGAUGUUUGUAAAUUAGAAGAUGCUCAGGUUUGCAAAUUAGAAGAAAAAUGUGUCAUCACUUGUGGCAACUUCUGACCCUAUUUUCCUCAAUUCUCUCUUCUUCUUUUUUAACCCCUUUUGUUAUGCCUUGUCUUCAAAGUGUCUGGAGACACGUUAGCGCUCCAAUGCUCAAAUUAGUGUAGGAAAUGAGAUGGAAUCUAUGAAAAGUGCGGGAAAAGUGAAUCAUACCUUGGGGUGAAGCUAAGUCACCCUUAAAUAGGCGUGUAUGAGAAUAACCGUCUCUGUGAAGUGCGGCGCUUCAUCAGGAGGCCGUUGGGAGAUGUGUAGGGUGUCUGAUGCACGGAGACGUGCUUAGGUAGGGUGGCGUGCACCAAAGUUAGGGUGUUUGUCCAAGUGACACGUGUUGCUCCGGCGUGUUACUUGUCCACGUGUCAACGUUGGAUUGGAUUUAAAGCGGGUCUAGAACAAUAUAUAAAGAGAGAUAGUUAGGAUCUGUUGACACCAGGUUUCACCAAAUCCCAAGGGUUGUUUCAAUUUAAUUUAAAGGCUUCAAUUUAAAGUUCAAUAUAACAUUAAUUAUUUAUUCUUCCAUAGUACCAUUAACUACUUAUUAAAGGGCGAAAUAACCCUAGAGCGCUUAGACGAUGACACGCGUCUCUUCUAAUUUAACCAAGAUCCUGAAUUCGAAUCUAGCCUUGGGCAUGCAACAACGUUAAAAUUCUUAGGGAGAGUUUGCUGCCCAUUUGAGUCCCACAAGGCUCCAUUCUUAAGGAGAGUUUGCCGCCCAUUUAGGUCCCAUAAGGCUCAAGAGAUUAGUAUGUGCAAAGGAGAAAUAGACUGAAUAGGAUAGUAAAUGAUCAAAUGUAAUAUACGUAAAAUAUAAAUAACAGUAAAAAGGAAGUAUAAUAAUUUAACAAAGUAAAGUGUUAACUGAUGAGUAAACCACUAAAUUGAUCCAUGUAUUUUUAAGUCACUAUCAAAUUAGUCCCCAACUCUAUUAAUAUUUCAAAAUAGUCAUUGUCUUUGUCAAAAAUUUCUCAAUUAAGUCUCUCGUCAUGUGACAAAAACAAAGAGAAAAUGAUCUAAUUGAAAAGAUUUUGACAAUAUUUCAAAAUAGUCAAUAUCUUUGUCAAAAGUUUUUCAACCAAGUCUCUCGUCAAGUGACAAAAACAAAGAGAAAACGAUCUAAUUGAAAAACUUUUCAGCAAUUUCGAAAUAUUAAUAGAGUCGGUAUUUGUGUAUUUUCAUCAUGCAUGUAUUUAAGGCAAGCAUCUCACAUUUCUACCAUUUCCUCCAAAAUCAGAAACAAACAUUUCCUUCUACCAAUUCCAUCCAAAUUCUUCCUUUCCUCUUUAGCCUUGAAUUGAAUUUUUCAAGUUCAGCAGCAAGUGAGAAUGCAUGCGUGAUUCAUUGGUUCUGUGUGGUUUGGGUUGGUGUUUAGGAACAAGAAUUGAAGUUUGGGUGUAGGAGAAUUGGAGCUUAAGCUGUUAAAGAGACCAGAUUUAUCAAUGUGAGUUCCUUUUAGUUUAGAAUCCACCUUGGAUAGUUGUAUAGCUGUGAUGUCAGAUGAAUGUUUCGGGACUACUCACCCCGGGGAUUCCGUAAAAUCAACCUAGAUAAGUUGUUUGUUCCACACUAACUUUUAUAAAUAAUUGAAUAUGAUGAAAUGCCAGAACAAUUAACCUAGACAGAUUACAGACUGUUAGCGAUCCUAGAUUCUCCCAGAUCACUAUCACCCUAGUGAGACCUUAUGUCUCAUCCCAUUCCCCCAUAUUAUUACUCAAACAUAGUUUAUAUAUCAGUGCAUGAUUAUUCAGACAGCAUUAUGUACUUUGUACUCAUCAGCAAGUACUUAAUUAUGACAUUUUAUUAGACUAUGGAUGUGAGAUAUUUCAUUCAAAUGAAAAUGUAUGUUGUAAUUUAAUGUAUCUAGUACUAAGUUUAUCGCUCGUCUAAGUAUUCUCUUUGGCCAACCAUCGUCACUCGUGUCUGUUCUCCUUUGUCUUCUCUGUCGGCUUUGAAAACCCUCUCUCCUUUGCCGUCUUUGUUUUUGACAUCCGUGACAGUUAUGGACCUCCGAUUGAGAUUUAAGGAGGUCGUUUUCCAGUAGGGUGGCUGGAUCCGCGGCGAAGUUCAAGACAUGGUCCUUGAAACCUUGGUCGAUCAGUCAUUCAAUCCUUCACUAUUGAUUGAGAUGGGGUUGAACAAAAAUGAAAAAAGAUUGUUUUGUUUUAGGUUUGAUGUUGAAAAUCUUGUUCCUAGUUAUGUGCUUCUGUUUUGGGAGGACAGAGGAGACGAGAAGGGAGGCCGGAAUGUAUUGGAAAAGAAGUGGUAGAUCUAGGAAGGGAGGAAAGAUAGUCGCUGGCGGCGUCGCAGGAAAUGGAAGAGUUAUAGGACGUUGUCGUCACUGAAAACGGAAGAGGCAGAAGACGGCGUCAGAAACGAAAUAGGAAGAGGUAGGGAAUGACGUCGUCAUGGAAACAUCGCCCGUAACGGAAGCGUAGUGGGGGCGGCGACGCUGGUUGUUUGGAUAUGUACAAGUCAUAAAAGCCAAGAGAAAAAGAAACUUGCAGAAUUUUUUUUUAUUUUCCCUUUUUUUUUGUGAGCUGGCAUGUAUAUUGAUUAUUUUAGAUUAAUAUGAGCCACAUGUAAGGGUGUAGAAUGCCAAGUCAAUGUGAGUACAUUUCUACACAUAUCACGACUCAUUUAUUUGUCUUUUGAACUUGUGUACAUUUCUGAUUAUAUGGUUACUGUCACUACCCUUAGAGAAGACUUAUCUGCUAAAUGCCAAGUCAAUGCCUCACUCCCUUCUCAGCCUUUUCUACCACCACACACUCAGUUCAUUCAUAUAUCAACUUAUUUUCUUCAACAUAUUAUAGAAACAAACACAAUUAAGAAACAUCAAAAGCAACAUCUUUCAGACACAAAUCAGAUUUCCUCAAUUCUUGCAUCAUAUCAUGACACAACCUUCAUUGUCUGUCUCUUCUAGCUUCACCUAUGAUGUUUUCAUCAGUUUUAGAGGCAUAGAUACCCGCAACAAUUUCACCCGUGACCUCUACGAUAUUCUUUAUCAAAACGGUAUUCACACUUUCUUUGAUGAAGAACAAAUUCAAAAGGGAGAAGAGAUCACACCAGCACUUUUUCAAGCAAUUCAACAAUCUAGGAUUUUCAUUGUUGUUUUCUCUAACAACUAUGCUUCCUCAACUUUUUGUUUGAAUGAACUUGUUGUGAUCCUUGACUGUUCCAACACACAUGGACGCUUGCUUUUGCCUGUUUUUUAUGAUGUCGAUCCAUCACAAGUUCGCCACCAAAGUGGUGCUUAUGGUGAAGCUUUGGGAAAACAUGAGAAGAGGUUUUGUGAUGAUAAGGAUAAGGUGCAAAAAUGGAGAGAUGCUUUAUGUCAAGCUGCUAAUGUUUCUGGCUGGCAUUUCCAACAUGGGUACAGUAUUUUCUAAUCUCAUACCAUACUUUUAUUUAUUUAUUUUAAUUACGGUUCUUUUAAUUGUCUAAUAGUUUUUAUAUAGAUGAUUUUACAAUUCAAAAUAAAUCUCAGAUACAAUUUUAGAUGAAGGGAACAUAGCAAGUAAAUAGGCAUGAUUAUUUGUACUUGAUGUGCACAAAUUAGCCUCAUAAUAUGUUCAGUUUUUCAUAAGUUCACUUGUACUUCACAAAUUGAUUUCUGAGUAAUGCUUGAUAAGGGACUAAUUUGACUGAUAUUUGAGACUUUUAAGAACCAAAUUGAUACUUUUUAUUUCUUUGGAACCAAAUAGGUCUUGGUGUUUUUUCUCAAUGGCCGGUUUAGACCUUUACUUAAUAAAAUGAUGAAUUUGUGAAUUGUGAAACCGGAAAAACAGAUAUGUGAUAAGUUGACACAUUAUGUGACUAACCAAAGUAUCAGAACUUGCAUUGCAACUUCUAAACACCUAUUUGUAUUUUACCUGUAAUUAAUUGACCAAGAUGAAGUACUAAGAAUCGGUUCAGUGCUUCUGUUUCAAAUCAGGUAUACUUUUGUGUUGUGUAGGUCACAAUCAGAAUACAAAUUUAUUGGAAAUAUCGUUGAGGAAGUCACUAAGAAGAUCAAUCGGACUACUUUACAUGUUGCUGAUAACCCAGUUGCAUUAGAGUCUCCAAUGUUAGAAGUAGCAUCUCUUCUAGAUUCUGGACCUGAAAAGGGAACCAACAUGGUUGGAAUUUAUGGUAUCGGUGGUGUAGGUAAAUCAACAUUGGCUCGUGCAGUUUACAACCAUAUUUCUGAUCAAUUUGAUGGUGUGUGCUUUCUUGCUGGCAUAAGAGAAAGUGCAAUUAAUCAUGGUCUUGCACAACUCCAAGAAACGCUACUUUCUGAAAUACUUGGAGAGGAGGAUAUUAGAAUAAGAGAUGUUUAUAGAGGAAUUUCAAUUAUAAAAAGGAGGCUCCAAAGAAAAAAGGUACUUUUGGUUCUUGAUGAUGUUGACAAAGUGAAGCAGAUACAAGUACUUGCAGGAGGGCAUGAUUGGUUUGGCCCCGGCAGCAAGAUUGUAGUCACUACAAGAGACAAACAUUUGUUGGCUAUUCAUGAGAUUCUAAAUUUAUAUGAGGUUAAACAGUUGAAUCAUGAAAAAUCUCUUGAUUUGUUUAACUGGCAUGCCUUUAGAAACAGAAAAAUGGAUCCAUGUUACAGUGAUAUGUCAAACCGUGCAGUUUCUUAUGCUUCUGGCCUUCCAUUGGCUUUGGAAGUAAUAGGUUCUCACUUGUUUGGCAAAAGUUUAGAUGUAUGGAAAUCUUCAUUAGAUAAAUAUGAAAGAGUUCUUCACAAAGAGAUUCAUGAAAUUCUUAAAGUUAGCUAUGAUGAUUUGGAUGAUGAUCAGAAGGGUAUUUUUCUUGACAUCGCUUGUUUCUUCAAUUCUUAUGAAAUGAGCUAUGCCAAAGAAUUGCUAUACCUACAUGGUUUUAGUGCUGAAAAUGGAAUUCAAGUGCUGACCGACAAAUCCCUCAUAAAAAUUGAUGCCAAUGGUUGUGUGAGAAUGCAUGACUUAGUUCAAGACAUGGGCAGAGAAAUCGUGAGGCAGGAAUCAACUGUGGAGCCUGGCAGACGCAGUAGAUUAUGGUAUGAUGACGAUAUAGUUCAUGUUUUGGAAACAAAUAUGGUACGUGCCAACGUCAAAACAUAUAAGAUGUUCUUCUGGUGGAUAACUACUAAAUUUCUAGAUUCUUAUUUAUCCAUUCUCAAUUAUAAGUGUUUAACGAAACUGAUUUUCAUAAGAAAAGGAUGUUAUUAUUUUGAAUUUGUAAUUUCUUGAGAUAUGUUGAUGAUAUUCAUAAACUUUACAUUCUGAUCAAAUAAUGAUUUGGAAUUGAAAGGGCACUGAUACAAUUGAAGUCAUAAUCAUCAACUUGUGCAAUGACAAAGAAGUGCAGUGGAGUGGAAAAGCCUUCACCAAGAUGAAAAACCUGAAAAUUCUUAUAAUUAGAAGUGCACGCUUUUCUAGAGGUCCUCAAAAACUACCAAAUAGUUUGAGAGUUCUAGAUUGGAAUGGAUACCCUUCACAAUCUUUACCAGCAGAUUUCAAUCCUAAGAAUCUUAUGAUACUUAGCCUUCCUGAAAGUUGUCUUGUAUCGUUCAAAUUGCUCAAGGUAUGUAUUUUUUUUUUUUACACAUUAAACUGGUUUAUGCAUAGCAAUGCUGUGUCUUUUAGGUCUAUGAAUGUUAUUUUUAAGAGGUUUGGUUUUGCAAUCUAGAAAGGGUUAGUAGUGCAGCUUGUUGUCUAUCUGCCAUCCGUUCCUAUGUACUCCCUCCGUCCCUAUAUGUAACCCCCCUUUGCUUUUUUCACAUUUCUUAAGAAAAGUUGUUAGUGUAAUUAAUGUGCCUAUUUUAUGUGUUAAUAUUACUAAAUUGUCCUUUGUUUGUAUGUGUAUUAAAUUUGACUUUUUGUAUUUCAAGACAAAUUAGUAGGAUUAAUUAGGGGUAUGUUUAGGAAAAUAAUAAUAAAUGCAUCUAGUAAUUUGAAAAGGAGUUUACAUUUAGGGACAAAAAUAAAAUCAAAUGGGUGCUUACAUAUAGGGACGGAGGGAGUAAUUAUAUAUAUAUAUGGUACAAAAAAAGUUAACAAUUAAACAUUGCACUACUUUGUAGUAACCUUGUUUGAAUGAAAGAGCAUGCCAAUUCGAUACAUUUGUUACUGGUCACUAUAAUGUGAGUAUCCAGUAAAUAUCUCAUAAUUUCAUUAUUUUAAUGUUUUGUAGGUGUUUGAGUCCUUGAGCUUUCUGGAUUUUGAAGGUUGCAAGUUAUUAACUGAGCUGCCUAGCUUAUCUGGACUAGUUAAUUUAGGGGCACUGUGUCUUGACGAUUGCACUAAUUUAAUCAGGAUUCAUAAGUCGAUUGGUUUUCUCAAUAAACUCGUGCUACUGAGUAGUCAAAGAUGCAAACAGCUAGAACUUUUGGUGCCCAACAUCAACCUGCCAUCUCUAGAGACUCUAGAUAUAAGGGGUUGCUCGCGUCUCAAGAGCUUCCCUGAAGUAUUGGGAGUAAUGGAGAAUAUAAGAUAUGUUUAUUUAGACCAAACUUCCAUAGGUAAGUUGCCAUUUUCAAUUAGAAAUCUUGUUGGCCUCCGACAAUUGUUCUUGAGGGAGUGCAUGAGCCUAACUCAGCUACCGGAUAGUAUUCGUAUAUUGCCUAAACUCGAGAUAAUAACGGCUUAUGGUUGUAGAGGAUUUCGAUUGUUUGAGGAUAAAGAAAAGGUGGGUUCAGAAGUGUUUCCAGAAGCCAUGCUUGUUUGUAAAGAAGGAAGCGCGGAAUCGCUUGAUAUGUCCUCUCUUAACAUAUGCCCUGAUAAUGUCAUAGAAGUAUUUAGUACUUCAAUUCUUGAUGGUAAUGUUGUAUUAAUGAGAGAAGGGAUUGCUAAAGGGAGAGGAAAUUGGUAUGAACAUGAAAGCAACGAAUCAUCCUUACGAUUUUGGUUUCAAAAUAAAUUCCCCAGGAUAGCUCUGUGUUGUGCUGUAGAACCUCCUGUGUGUAAAGACAAUAUGUUGUUGGAUUUCAAGUUGAGUGUUCUUAUCAAUGGCACUGAGCAAUUCACUUCUUCAUGCAACUACAUAUUUUCUGCUGAACAAAUAAUUAUUCUGUGUGACUUAGUGUGCAAAGUUGAAAGAUCGUAUUUAGAGCAUGAAUGGAAUCAAGUAGAUAUUUUAUAUGAGUUUAAAUACCUUAUGCCAUGUGGCUCUAAAAGAAUAAUGGCUACCCAUGAGAUGACCACAACAAGAAAUCCAAGUUGGUCCUUCAUUUAUGCCUAUGAAGAAGAUAACAAAGUGGGUAUCAGAUUUCUCUCCCAGUUUGUGGAAUGCGUAGAGCAGCACAGAAGAAAUAUAGCAAAUUAUUGGUUUGGUUCAGUACUUUACAAAAGGUUUGUUUGUGAAUUUAGAAAUGAUUAAUUAAGUAAAUGAUCUUAUAAAUAUUAAGAAUUUUGUUUAGUCUAUAAAAAAAAUUGCAUCUAUUGGUCGCCGUAAAAUUUUCCGUCAGCAUCAUUUUAAUUUUUAAGUAUGUUAAAAGAAAAUAUUACAGAGGUUAAAAGUGCAAUUUUGGUCUUAGGAACUAAAAAUGAAUUUAUGAAUAUUUAUAUAGACAUUUACUUAAUUAAUCCAUUGAAAAAUAACUGGAUUUUGACAUGCUUUAUUUAAUUAAUUUAUUUUUUUGAAAUCAUCUGUUUAAGUAUUGAAAUCUACAAGAAUAUACUAGCUCCGUCCCUAAUUAUAAGACCUUUUUGAGAAUUUUCUUUUAUCCCUUUUUAUAAGACUCCUUUGUUAUUUUCAACUACAUUAAUUAUUUCUUUACAUGCAUGCCCCUAUUAAUUAUACAUUUUUUUCUUCAAUCAGCAAUAAAUAACAUGUUGAAAACAUAUAUCAUCUCUCUCUUAAAAGAUAAAAUUGUAAAAACAAUAUUAAUUACAAACAUAUUUAAUACAAAUAUCCACUAUCUUAAUUCCCGUUAUUUUUUCAAAAGGGACAUAUAAUUAGGGACGAAUGUAGUAUAUAUAUAUAUAAACACACUUUAUGUGGUCACAUUUAUAAACAAAAUACAAAUUUUUAAUUAUUAUAUCUGGUCACUUUUAUAGACCAAAUAUAAUAUGUAAAUAGUGUGUUAUACGUAAUAUAUAAUAUAACUAAUAUUCAAUAACAAAUAUUAUCUCAGAUCUUUCUCUCCAUUGGUCGAAAAAGAGAGAUUUGUCUUUCCCGAACUGAAAUUAAAAUUAUUUAAUUUAAUGGUCGAAAAGAUAGUGGGACCAGCGAUUGGGAUCGAUCUCGGAACCACAUACUCAUGCGUCGGUGUAUGGAAACAUGACCGUGUUGAAAUCAUCGCCAACGACCAAGGUAACAGAACCACACCGUCUUACGUCGCCUUUACCGACUCAGAGCGUCUCAUUGGUGAUGCCGCUAAGAAUCAAGUCACCAGGAACCCUAUCAACACCAUCUUCGAUGCUAAGAGGUUGAUUGGCCGUAGAUUCAACGAUGCCUCUGUUCAGAGUGAUAUGAAGUUGUGGCCAUUUAAGAUUAUUUCUGGCCCGUAUGAAAAGCCUAUGAUUGGUGUUAACUACAAGGGUGAAGAUAAGCAAUUUUCCGCAGAAGAGAUCUCUUCCAUGGUACUCACGAAGAUGCGUGAGGUUGCUGAGGCCUACCUUGGCUCUGCCAUUAAGAAUGCCGUUGUUAGUAUCCCUGCUUAUUUUAAUUUUAAUCACAGACAAGCUACUAAGGAUGCCGGUCUUAUUUCUGGUCUUAAUGUCCUGGGAAUUAUCAAUGAGCCCACUCCUGCAGCCAUUGCUUAUGGUUUUGACACGACCAGCUUUGGAGAGAAGAAUGUCUUGAUCUUUGACCUUUGCGGUGGUACUUUUGAUGUCUGUUUGCUAACUAUUGAAGAGGGUAUCAUUGGGGUUAAAGCUACAACCGGAGACCCCCAUCUUGGAGGUGAGGAUUUUAAUAACAGAAUGGUGAAUCACUUUGUUCAAGAGUUCAAAAGAAAGAACAACAAGGACAUCAGUGGCAACCCAAGAGCUCUUAUGAGGUUGGGGACUGCUUGUGAGAGGGCGAAGAGAGCUCUAUCAUCUACUGCUCAGACCACCAUUGAAAUUGAAUGUCUAUUCGAGGGAAUUGAUUUCUGCUCCUUCAUUACUCGUGCCACAUUUGAAGAGCUCAACAUGGAUCUCUUUAGGAAAUGUAUGGAGCAAGUUGAGAAAUGUUUGAGAAAUGCUAAGAUGGACAAAAGAAGUGUCCAUGAUGUUGUCCUUGUAGGAGGUUCUACCAGAAUUCCAAAGGUUCAACAAUUAUUGCAGGAUUUCUUUAACGGAAAGGAGCUAUGCAAUAGCAUUAAUCCCAACGAGGCUGUUGUGUAUGGUGCUGCAUUUUACGCUGCAAUCUUGAGUGGUGAGUACAAAAGAAGUGUCCAUGAUGUUGUCCUUGUAGGAGGUUCUUCUUUUGUUAAGAUUGUUUUGAUUUUUUUCAUAUUGAUUAAGAUCUGUUUGUUCACUUUGCAUGUUGUUGAUGGCUUCUUAAUUCUUUCUCUUUUCCCUGUUCUUUUUUGUGAAAUGAGUAUUGUUUUUCCUAUAAUCAUGUUAUCAAUGCGAAAUAUCAACCCAACUUUGCUGAUAUCUAAUCUCUGCCGGUGAACCUGGCUCGCCACCUCUCCCAACCGCAUUUUUCUCAUACCCAUUGGUCGAACAUGAGACCUUGUUUAAGAGACCAGUGUCUAGUUAAUGUCAAUUUGUUUAUUCUAAUACAUUAACAAGUGUAUAUUGUGGAAGCUUUGUAUUUUUGUUAAAUUUUUAUGUCUUUUAGGGUGUGAUAGGUAGGUGCAUGCUUAAUGAUGUUGAUGAAUUUGAAAUGGUUUUGUUGAUAACAUUUUGGUUACAAUUUACAAGGAAUUUACGGUUCAUUUAUUUUAAUGCAUUUGAGACGUAUGCAACUUUUUUCGAUAUUUUUUGAAAUAAAUUGAAAUGUCUUUCUGGAUGGACACUUAAACUCUGAUUCGUAAGAAAAUUUAAGCUGUCCCCUGUUCUCACUUGUGUGGUGCUACAAAUUGUUCAUGAAUCUAUUUAUAUGACCUCAAGAAAAUUUGAGUUUUAUUGUAUCAUAUUAUAUAAUAUUUAAAUAUCAUCAUCAAUGUUCAUGAGGGGUAACCUUGGCACAACACAACUGGUAAAGUUGUUGUCAUGUGACUGGAAGGUCACGGGUUCAAGUCCUGGAAAGAACCUCUUGUGUAAAAAUCAGGGUAAGGCUGCGUACAAUACACCAAAUGGUGGAACCCCUUCUCGAACCCUGCGUAUAUGGGAGCUUUAGUGCACCGGGUUGCCCUUUUUUAGCACAUGAAUUCAGAAAUGCGAUUAAUAUCACAGGUUUCAUGAAACAUUUAUUAAGGGUAUGUUAGGAAAAAGUAACGAAUACUUCAUUGAUAUUGCAGAACAGCAUAUAACAUGAGACAAUUUCUUUUUUGUUAAAAUGACUUAUAAUAUGGGACAGAGGAUGUGAAGCUUUAUUCAUUCAAAAUCCAUAAGAAAUUAUUUUCUGUUGCGCAAAUGCAAAAUAUUUUAGUCAUAGGAGAUGGUUAGAAUGCCGUACAAAAAAGGGAGAAUAGAAUGAGAGAGUAGCAAUGAAAUAUUGAUAGUGACACGGGGAUAUAUUUGACAAUGUUAUAGUGCAUCUGUACUAUGGUGAGAUGUCAACUAAAUAGUUUCUGAGUAUGUUUUAAUAUAUUAUAAACGAAUAAAUAUAUUUGGCAAUUUUAUAGUGCAUCUGUACUAUAAAAAGUGUUAAGAAUCAAGUUUGCCUAUUCAUAAUUAGGGUUAGAAUGAUAUCUGGAUAUUUGAAUUACAAACCAAACUGAUUAAAUCUUUUGAACAUGUUCUACAGACUAUUUAUAAAUAGAGGUGUCUGCCAAAUUCAUCAAGAAGAAUGCAAACAAUUUUGAUAUAAACCGAUUGCAACUCUUUCUUCAAAAUAUGAAUAACUUACAUUAUGGCAUUUUCUACUGUUGGAACUCCAGACUAUAUUGCUCCAGAAGUGUUACUGAAAAAGGGUUAUGGCUUGGAGUGCGACUGGUUUGUUGAUAUUCUUUUUCAUUUGCUUGAGCUGCAUCUCUUUAUUUUAUGUUUUGGUAGUUUUCCCAUAUUCGUUGACACUACAGGUUGUGCAUGGAUUUUUAUAUCUUUUGCUUUGACUUGGUUCAAUUACGUUGAAAUUGUGAUAUUCGUUGUAAUCGUCUUAAUAGGUUGAACAACCAAUGCCAGCUGGAUCCGGACCCAUCAGAAAGGUAAAAUUUUAUUUACUUGCAUGAAGAUUAAGAUUUUUCAGGAAAAAAUAGUCAAUCAUCCUGUCUUAGCUAUUCGCUUUUUUGCAUCAUUCUGUUUAGAUUGCAAUAUUCAUUUCCUCUAGAUAUAUAAACAAUUAUAAUAGCUGCAUGAAUGAGUAUGUCUCCAUUGAACUUACGCACAACAUUAAUCAUCGUAUAAAUCAAUAAUCAUUGGCUUUAUGCAUCUUUAGAUUGAUUCAUAAGUAUUUAUUUAUUUUUCUUCACUAUUGAAUUCACCAGUUCUAGUUUUUUACCCUGAUACAAAAUUUCCAGGCUAAAUAUAAGUUGAUUGAUUUUGUAGUACAUACAAUAACUCUUAUGUUUCUUGUAUCCUUUUUGUCUACAGAUGCUUUUUACUCAAGAUCUCAGUUUUGUUGGCUAUACAUAUAGGAAUUUUGCAGCUGUCAAAGGGAAGCGUCAUUCUAUUGGUAAGUACUUUCCGCAUAAAGGAUAAUAUGUUACUAUUUUUUAUUUUAUUUUUAUUAACACAUUUUGAUCUUUUGAUGCCACAUAUUAUGAAUCUAUAAUGCUGUAUUUCAACUUUUUAUCGCCGAUUUCCAUUUUCUUUUUGUACAUGAGAUCAGUUUAAAGUUAUUUGCCACGGAAAAUGCUGAAAUUUAUGAAAGAUAUUGCACAAAAAUGUCACGAAUAUGUCGUGAUAUUUUUAACCUUUAUAACCCUUUGUGUUUUCCAUCAAAGCAGUGACUUAAUAGUUAAUCGUUUUUGUACACUUUCCGUAAACCUUUCUUUUGUUCUAACUAGUUACAAGUUAGGCUCAUCGCUAAAUGUUACAGCAAAAACAGGACUUUCCAUCUAUAUAAUUUCUUUGCAUUAUAAAAUAUAUAUUUUGAUCAUCCAAAGCUAUACUUCACAUAUUAUUCUUGGUGCUCCCCAUGUAUAGCUGUCCGUAAUUGUCGGUUAAUGUCAUCAAAUUGGUCCUUAAGUAGACGAAAUUGAUUGCAUUGCUCGGCAUAUAUGUGUCAAUCUGAUGUAACCUAUUGUUAAAAGUUAAGAAUCUUUAGAUAUUUGUUUAACUGUACAACUUCCUAGAUUGAUUGUUAUUACUCCUAGAGUAUUCAACUUCCUAGGCUAGUGCUUACUAAUUAAGCAUUCAAUGCACUUAUUGUAAAACCAUUAUAAAUACAAUAGCGUGAUCUCAUUAUAGACACACAGAGAGUUUACUCAGAUUUUACAUAUUUUACACCUAUAAUGGUGUGGACUAACGUGAUCGUGCUAAACUUUGGUAGACUAGAAUGCAUGUUCAUUCUGCUUAAUAUUAACAUCUUCAUUCACACUUGUGUUAUAUCAGUCUUUGCUUUUAGUCUCUAUAUUUUUGUUUUGUUUUAUACUCUGAAGCAUAAGAAAAUUAGCAUUUAGUCCUUUUUUGGCUUUAAUCUUUCAAAUAUUUGUCUAUGUUGGAAUUCGUCCUUAUAUACUCCAUAUAAUUAGGUGCUAAGAUCAAUAAGGUCUACAUAAUACAAGACUUUAACCAACAUGAACUAGAAUUAAAAUAACAAGGACCAAAAACAAAAUUGUGUAUGUAUCAGGGACUAGAACACUAUGGCGUCAUUUGAUCCAUGUAGCCGACCCCACUUAGUGGGAUAAGGCUUGGUUGUUGUUGUUGUUGUAUCAGGGACUAGAAAAACAAAUUACAAAGACUAGAGGUGAAAUUGAAAUAUUUAAGGAUAUCUAUGCGCCUAUCACGAUAUUUAAAUACCUUCUGGAUAUUUCAGUUUAUACAUUUCUUUAUCCUUUAUGGCUAAUGAUACUGUACCACUUUUUUUUGGACUUGAUACAGAAAAGGGAAGCGUGUCACCACGAUCAUCAGUCGACUCUACACACAGUAAUAAAACCUUUUUCAGCUUUGAUAACUACUUCUAUGUCUAUUCAGUUAUGGGACUCAAACCAACCAGUUUUGUUCUAGGUGAUUCUGUAAUAAACUAUUCCACCUGAUACUCAAUGGACAUCACCAAAGCAUAGGUGGUUGCACCCUAUGGUGCUUGUGAAGAGUGACCUAACCUUAUUGUAAUGUACAUUAUGACCUUCUCGUGUUGCAAAUAGAUGGAGAUUCACCUUCUUCGAUGAUGGUGUCUUUUCGCCUUAGUUUCAGUGCUAACGGACAUCUAUCAUGCAGAACCUAGUGUACAGGGAUUGAUAUCUAUGUAUGUACCACUUGAUGAAUGGUUCACUUGUUGUUGAUGUUUGUAAAUUAGAAGAUGCCCAGGUUGGCAAAUUAGAAGAAAAAUGUGUCAUCACUUGUGGCAACUUCUGACCCUUUUUUCCUCAAUUCUCUCUCUUUUUUUUAACCCCUUUUGUUAUGCCUUGUCUUCAAGCUCCGAUUGUUUUUAACCCCUUUUGUUAUGCCUUGUCUCCAAGCUCCUAUUGUACUUCCAUCAUAAUAGCAAAUAACUUUUUACUGCUAUCAAUUUAGAUGAAGUUCAAGUUGUUGUGACUUGUGACAUUUGUAAUGUUGACAUAAUGAAAAAAAUGAUAUCAAAUAUCAAUGGAAACUUUGUUAUGAUUCUGAUAUGUCAUUCAUUAGAUGCAUGAAAUUAUUUUUACUAGAGGUAAACCUGUUCAUUGUGCAUGUGCUUAUUAUGUAGUUUUUAUAUUCCAGGGCCACUUGGAUGAACAAAUUUGGUUAGGUGUGAAGGUUGUUUUGAUAAAUCAUUAUAACUAGAUAAAAUGUAAAUAGAAUAGUCGUCAUAAAUUACGAAGAGUAACUAUAUGAAAUUUGUGCUAGAAUAUAUAUGAUAUGUCCGUUGAGAAACGGAUGGAGGCAACCAUGGCGGAAAGUGCUCUGGUACAGUGGCGAUGAGUCUUCAUGGUGGAACGAAAGGUGUCUGCAGACACGUUAGCGCUCCAAUGCUCAAAUCAGUGUAGGAAAUGAGAUGGAAUUUGUGAAAAGUGUGGGAAAAGUGAAUCAUACCUUGGGGUGAAGCUAAGUCACCCUUAAAUAGGCGUGUAUGAGAAUAACCGUCUCUGUGAAGUGCGGCGCUUCAUCAGGAGGCCGUUGGGAGAUGUGUAAGGUGUUUGAUGCACGGAGACGUGCUUAGGUGGAGUGGCGUGCACCAAAGUUAGGGUGUUUGUCCAAGUGACACGCGUUGCUCUGGCGUGUUACUUGUCCACGUGUCAGCGUUGGAUUGGAUUUAUAGCGGGUCCAGAACAAUAUAUAAAGAGAGAUAGUUAGGAUCAGUUGACAACAGGUGUCACCAAAUCCCAAGGGUUGUUUCAAUUUAAUUUAAAGGCUUCAAUUUAUUCAUUUCACAAUGUUACCUGACACUUUCAUCGUUCUUUUUACACUUUCAUCAUUCUUUUUACACUCUCUCCCCUUUUAUUUUGGAAAUCCACCACUGUCAAAAUAAAGGAAUAUAUAAAGAAUGAUGAAUAAUUGAGUGUAAUUGUUGAUUUUAAAGUUCAAUAUAACAUUAAUUAUUUAUUUUUCCAUAGUACCAUUAACUACUUAUUAAAGGGAGAAAUAACCCUAGAGCGCUUAGACGAGAUGACACGCGUCUCUUCAAAUUUAACCAAGGUCCUGAGUUCGAAUCCAACCUUGGGCAUGCAACAACGUUAAAAUUCUUAGGGAGAGUUUGCUGCCCAUUUGAGUCCCACAGGGCUCCAUUCUUGAGGAGAGUUUGCCGCCAAUUUAGGUCCAUAAGGCUCAAGAGAUUAGUAUCUGCAAGGGAGAAAUAGACUGAAUAGGAUAGUAAAUGAUCAAAUGUAAUAUAGGUAAAAUAUAAAUAACAGUAAAAAGGAAGUAUAAUAAUUUAACAAAGUAAAGUGUUAACUAAUGAGUAAACCACUAAAUUGAUCCAUGUAUUUUUAAGUCACUCUCAAAUUAGUCUCCAAUUCUAUUAAUAUUUCAAAAUAGUCUUUGAUCACAAGCUGUUUUAUUUUUCUCGUCCUGCGACAAAUCGGCCACCAAGUUUGCAAAAUCGGCCACCGAUUUUUCACGAGACAAAAGUAUCCAAAACCAGGUCAAAAUCGGCAACUGUGGUACAAAUCGGCCACCGAUUUUGACAGACAUAAUGCACAUUUUUGAGUCACUUUUUAACAUAUACCAUUGAUCAUAACUUCAUAAGAUAGGAGUAUGUGCCAAUUGCAAUUGGCAAACAAUUUAUUUACUAUUUUAGUCAAACGAAUUUUCACUUUUGAGGAAUCAACAUUGAAUUAUGAAAUGUUGAAAUGAUAUAAAACAUUGAAUUAUGAUCCAUGUGUGCUGUUUUGAUAAACAUGUUGCCUUUAGUUAAUUAAACUUGUCCAAUAAAGCAUAGACUCUUGAACAUGGAUCCUAGCUUAGAGCUAAUUGGUUCACAUUUCAAAGAUUCAUGCUUGUGUUCUUCUUGCACAACGUCAAAUGAAAUGUUUCAUAGUCUUUCCAUUCAUUUCUCUUAAUCUUAUCAUUUUUUGUGGAUAUUUUUUUAGAGGCACCACUCUCUUGAUUCGCCCAAGGCAUCCAAAUUUAAAGGGUCGGCCCUGUACUUACCUUUUCCUAUUUAUCUCUUAAAGUCUAUUUUUUUUAAUGAUGGUUCACUAAUAGGGGAUUUUAGAUUCAUGGCACAAUUCAUUACUGGACUUGGCUUCAAAUGACCACUUUAAGAGCAUGAGUGACUCUAAUAUGUAAACAUUGUGUUACAUAAUAUCCUAAAUGUUUUAUAUGAUAAGUCUUUGUCCAUAUUUGAUCCAACAAGAAAAUAUAAGUUCACUAAUGUGCAACUAAAUAGUAAUUAUAGUAGUCUUUUGUGAUCGUGUUCUAUUUCAUGUUAGUGUUGUCAAAGGAAAAAUAUCAUUUUCUUAUAGUAGUUUUAUACUAUCUUCCAAGAAAGAACUUGGUUAAUGCCAUCAUAGGUUGAUGUUAAUUUAACAUUUGGAAAUCCACUUGACCACCAUUUGUAUCAGUUUCUGUUGCAAUUUGACUCAAAAAUUGAAGUUUGGAAAAAGUGAAGAAUCGUGACACGAUUCUUAUGGCGUGUCACAAUUUCUGAGGCAGAAUGUAAGGUUGAUCCUAGAGGCAAAUCGUGACACGAUUUAGGGGUUUUUUGAAGUAAUUCACGAAGAAAUCAUGCAAAUCGGUAAAUUAAGAACAUCUGAAGAAAUGUCAAGAUUUUGGGAAUACCAAGAAUGAAGGUUCAAGAGGCCUAUGAGACUUUACAUAGGGAGGAAUUUUGUUCCCAAGUUUUGAGGCAAGUCAUUUGAAGAAAAAGACCUAAAAACGACAAAAAUCAGAGAAAUUGGGCCCAAGAAGGAGCAACCAUGCGCCUAGGGCAUGAUAAUUGUGCAAUAUGCGCCUAGGGCAUAUAGAAUGUGCCUAGGGCAUCUUAAAAAAUGCACUGAAUACGCCUAGGGCAUGCUAUAUGCUUGCCGAUCAUCUUAAAUGUGAGGGGAGCAAGCGUAAUUUUAUUUUUUUUAGUGGGUUUAGCCCGCGUUCUUUGCCCAAACCUAGUUAGAAAUCUCCACUAUAAAUACUAGUCUUCCUCAUUCAGAACUGUGGCAGUUCAAGAGGAAUGCAACUUUAGAGCUUCGGGAGAUAAUCUAUAUUUUCCUUUAUUUUCUAGGGUAUGUUUUUAUCUUUAGUAAUUUGUUUUUAGUUACCAUGUGUAACUAAAUCUUUUUAGGUUAGAAUUCUAAGAUGAACCUCUGUCUCUGUUUAUUUUUGUUGGAUAUUUAUUUAAUAUUAUAUGUCGUUUAUUAUAUUUAUUUUUUUGUUCGCUAUUAAUUUCCUGAUUCAGUUAUUUAUUUCAAAGGAGUGUAACCCUAGAUUAGGUACUUAGGUUAUGACAGGGCCUAACGUUGUUAUUACUAUCUUUAUAGCAUUAUGCUAGUAACUAUAUGUCUAGGAAGUAAGUGAUUAUUAACUAGCAAAAAAUGCCGAAAGAAAGUUGACCGUAAUAGUAACUACUUAGGAGGUGACAUUACUAAGACUGAGUAGUAACGUUGCUUAACCUAGGAUGUAACUGGUUAGUAAAUAGGGAAACAAGCGUCUUCGGGGAAUAAGACUUUAUCGAAUCACUCUCUUGAAACCCUUAGUAAGGUAGACGUAGAUUAGGGCUGCCCGUUUGUAGAACUACUAUGAGCGUAGAGAGAGAGUGUGGUAUGAUUGUCUUAAGAUUCAUAGAUGGGCUGACCUAAGGGAACCUUGGCCUUCAUUGCCUUGGGAAACACUAGAACGCCAAUUUAAGUUUAUGUUUCCAUUACCUUUGAAUUAGCAAGACGCCGCACCUAAGGAUCACCAUGUGAUCAGCAGAUGCAGUUAGUCAUCGGAGGGAUAGACCAAUUAGGUUAGUAAUGUCUCAACGACCUCAUCACUUGUAUAGUCUACCUAAGAUAAAUAAUUGCGACAUUGUUGUUACUUAAUAUCCAACAAUAUAAACAGGGGGAAUUCGAAAAAUUCUAACCGCUGUUUAUUUUUCUGCAACCAAAACAGGUAAACUUGCUCUGUUGCAAACAGAUAAAAAUUGCAACCUUUCUAACCCUUUUAUCUUUUACAUCGUCAACUUACAAAAAUAAGUAACGUGAGUUUUUUUUGACGAAACGACAAUCUCUGUUGAUAUGAUUCUCUACUUUUCUCUUUAUUACUUGGUAAACGAUUUGCUACAUUUGCCAUAUCCGACCAUCACAGGGUAUGCAAACAUAGAUGCAUUAUUAUGCAAACUUGCCAUCAUGGAAGUUGGAAUACCAAAAGGUUGUUCCCUAGAUAGAUUAUGCAUGGUUAUGAACCUAUCAUCAAGUCUAGCCCUAACUUGAGGAGAAACAAGAAGGCUAGUAGACACAGGUACACCCGCAGUAAUGGAGGCACAAAGGUCCCCAUUUUUAGUUGUGUCACUACAACAACAAUUGUUGAAACGGUUGUAGGAGCAGUUACUCUCAUUUCCGUCAAAAUUUGCAUAGCCAUGGUUGCUCCCACGACCGUUGAUACACUAGCGCCCAUUGUAGGGGAAGAUGUCUGUGUAGAUUGUGCUUGUGAAGAGGACUAUGGUGAUUGUGAUGACGCAGAAGUACCAGUAUUGGUUGGUCUAGCCAUUUCUUUCAUAGUUUUACCACUUCUUAAAUGCAUGCACAAACAAAUGUAUUUUCAGAAGAAAAAAAAGUUCACCAAAACACUUAACAAUUUCUAAAAACGGUUUUCACAAGAACAGUUAGAAAAUAAUUUAAAAGUUAUGGAAGUUAUUUCCAAAAUUUUGCACAAACAGGGUCCUACUGGGCGUGCCAAUUUGUUUACUGAUGUUUUUGGUAAACAAGAAGGGCUGAUUUGGUUAUUACAAGCAGGAUCAAACCAGAAAUCCUAGGAUAUAUUGUGCAAAGUUUUUUCAGAAAGUGAGUGAGUGUUCAUCAGAUCCAUAAGUUGCUUUAUGAACAAGAUGAAUUUGUGUAGUGUCUUUCGAUAGAAAGAGUAACGAAAAUGCAAGUAAAAGACUUUAAAAGUUUAAAACGCAUAAACUUAAAGAAAAGGUAAAUUGCCUUGCAUUAAUGUAAAGGUGGUUCGACAAAUCAGAUUACAUACAUUUUGUAUGACUCUUUUCUUUAGACGCUGGUACUUCGAGUGCUAGAAUUCUAUAAGUGAUUUGUGACCCAUUUUCCAUAUGAAAAACUACUAUUUAUACAUAGUAAAAUAACUGAAAAAGGCUAACUGCUAUGAUCAGCACUUCUUCCAUCGAAAAUUGAUUGUCCCCCACGUCUUCACUAAGGCAACUGCUGCUUUUGAAUUUGAAUUAUUUCUUCUCCGACAGUAAUUGUUUGACUUCGACGAAUUUACGUCUUGACUCGCAUCUUGUCGAACUUAUAAACUUUUAGAAUCUUCCAAACGCUAAGCCCAGACUUUGUCAAAAUCCUCGUGUUGAAGCAACAAAAAAAAAAAUGAUUCCUGAAAAGACAAAAGUCAACAAAUGUUGACUGCAUUAAUUGAGCCUGUUGAAAUUGCAGGCUAACAAGGGGUUGUUCGGAUUAUAUAAUGCGAAAAAAAUCAAGGAACGAGCCUUAUUUUUUUUUUUAAGUUUUCGAAUUAUAAAAUCCGAAUUGGUGAAGAACUCAUUUUUCGCCCUCGAACAAAGAAAAAACUCAGCUCGAAUUUUAAAAUCCAAAAAUCACAUGGGCAUUUUUGAAAAAAUUACAACGCGCGUGAGAAUGAUAUAGGAUGAGAAAUGUAAUAGUCUCAAAAAAAAAAGUUUAGUUGGGUUGGUCGGGUUAAUUAGGGCUCUGACGGGUCCAAAAUAAACACCUGAACUGAACUUACCCAUAACAGCAUGUAACAAAAGUUUAGUAUUUUAGUUUAAUAUUUUAGUAUUUUUGUUUAAUAUUUUAGUCCCUAUUUUUAUUUUUUUAACAAAAGUUUACGUUUCGUGUUUAGAACGACUUCAGUUUUUAUUAAUUUAUCUAUAACUUUAAAUUAAAGAUUAAAUUUAAGGUUAAAUAGUAAUAUUAUUAAAAUAAUGAUAUUUUAUCAUCUUAUCGAUGAUAUGUCAUCAACAAAAGUCAUUUGAAUACAAAACAUGAACUUUUGAAAACAGAAAAUUUAGAGACAAAAAACGUAAGUAAUUUUUUUAAAAAACCAAAAUAGCCAACCGAACUAGCAACAUGGAGAAAUGGAUUUGAAAUCUUGAGAGGAGCGUCUCGGCCAACACCACCACAACAACCCAACUAUGGUUUUAAGGAAAUUUUUAGAGGACUAAAACUGAAGGUUAAUAUAUUUAUAGAGAAUAAAAACAUAUUUAAUAUUAUAUAAGGUCCAUAAGUUCUAGCUUAACUAACAAAAAUACCUAAAUUGAUAGGUCACAUGGUUUGAACAAAAAUAAAAAGAAUAAAAAAAUAUAACAAUAUUUCUAAAUUCCAAUAAGUGUUAGACAUAUCCUAAUAAAAACUUUUGUAUCCAAAGACAAUCAAUAAAUAAAUGGAAGUAUUACUAAUUUUAAAUCUACUCAUAAGAUGAGUAACACUACAUUAAUAAUUAUGCUAGAUCACUCAUCUAAAAAAAUUCUUAUAGACCACUUUCAAAUUCCUCAUUUUUUUUUUCAAUGUUCAAGUUUCAAAAUUCAGCAAAACCUACCAUCUAUAUCAAUACAUUGAUGUGAAUAUUAUAGUACAAAAUAAUUGGCAUUGAAUUAAUCUUUUUUUUUUUUUUAACAAAUCAAAAUGGAAUAAUUUUUUUUUUAUAAGCAAGGAACGUAGACAGACAUCAAGAGGCAUCAUCGACAUCCCAAUUAGGUUGGCACCUCGAGAGACCUCCAUCCUAUGCCGCCACACUCUAAAAAAUUUAUUAAAAAAGGGGAAAAAAUAAUUACCAAAGGAGGGGGACUAGACCAAAACCCUCAAAAAACGAAAAGAGAAGGAGACAGAAAAUAAACAGAAGAAACAAUAAAAAGCAAUCAAAAAACAUAUCAUGAGGAUCUGUAAUUUGGAAGUCCACAUCUAUCCCUAUAGAAAUCAAGCCUUAAAUCAAUAGGAAGAGUGUCUAGCCAAACUACACCAACACUGGAGUGACCCAUAGAAGCCAACUUAUCUACGCAGCUGUAUCCUUCACGAAAAAUGCGGGAAGAAAUAACCUAAACCUGUAAGUGUUGGGCAUAUACAUAAUUUUUUAAAGCAAUCCGAGAAUGUGUUGGGCAUAUACAUAAUUUUUUAAAGCAAUCCGAGAAUUAAAGUUACUGAUACCUCUAAUAUAAAUGAACAUAAAUGACAAGGUUCGGCUUAUAUAAAGAAAAGUUUAAAAGGAAAGUUUACAACUCACCGUCACCACUCUUUUUGAUAUAUAUAUAUAUAUAUAUAUAUAUAUAUAUAUAUAUAUAUAUAUAUAUAUAUAUAGCAUCACUUUUGUUGAAAUUAUAAAUUUUGAAUUCCAAUAGUAAAAGCCUCAAUUUUCUAUUCAAAAUAAAAGCCUUAACUUUAGCAUAUUUUAAAAUAAUAAUACUUAAAUAUUAUUUUGAUCCCUUCGCUUAUUUUAAAUAUUUAACUUGGUCUCUUAUGUUUAAAAUUGGUGAAUUGAGUCAUUUAACUUAUUUAUAAAGUUCAAUUUCGUCCCUUAAAACCGAUCAUUUUGGUCCUUUAACUUAUGUAAGUCAAUAGAACUUGGUACCUUAACUUAUAAAAAUAUACUAAUCACAUCCAUUUAUUUAGGGAUCAAAUUGCAUUAACUUACAAAAACUAAAAGAUCAAGUUGCACUAACUUACGUCCCAAAUUGAUUGUUAUCAAGUUGCACUAACUCAUCAUAAAAAAAUUGUUUUGUUUAAAUUUUAAAUUUUGAUAGUAGUCAUUAAAAAACCUCAAUUAUUUUAUUCAAAAUAAAAGCCAAAAUUUUGAAAAAUUCUAAAAUAAAAAUAUCAACAACAUGGGAAAAUCAUAUAAUUAUAUAAAUAGUAAUAACAACAAAACUUUUAAGAAAAAUUUAAUGAUACCCAAAAUUAAAUUUGAGCAAUAACCAGUGAUUCUCAAAUUCCAAUUUCACUAAUUUUCUACGAAGUUUUUAUUGCAAAAUAUUUGAAGUAUGUCAUGUCUUUUAAUAGCAUAAUCCACGUAAAUUCCUUUUAAUAACAAAAAUUAUUUAAUGCAUUAUAAUUUUAUAAAGAAUUUUUUUUUUUGACAAGCAAGGAGAGUGGACAAACAUCAAGCGGCAUCAUCGACAUCCCAACUAGGUUGGCACCCCGAGACACCUCCAUCCUAUGCCACCACACUCGAAAAAAUUUAUUAAAAAACGGGAAAAAAUAAUUACAAAAAGAGGGAGGACUAGACCAAAACCCUCAAAAGAAACAGUAAAAAGAAAACAGAGAAACACAAACACAAACAAAAGUCCUCCAAGAACAAAUCAAGGGAAUCUGUAGUUCGGAAUAUAAAGAAAAAUGUACACAUGAAAACUCUCUAAUGAUCAUUGCAUCAUAAUGAUUCUCGAGAUAUAACAUUUAAUGAAGUUGUAAAAAAAUCACAAUAAAUUUCUUUUUAAUAAAAGAAAAUUAUGGUGAGGGAAUGUUGACUUUGUAUAAGGUAGGGAAUUUUGAUUGAGCCAUGCUAUAUGGCACGGCACAACUCACCCACAAACACACACGACACAUUGAAAAACAAGUAACUUGCUUGGUAAAAUUAAAUCUAACACUUCAAUUGGCAAGACUCAAUUCACAUAACACUUCAUCUUGCUUUUUUACUGAAAAAAGUUAUUGGUUUUAUUGUUCCUAAUGAUUUGAAUUGUUUGGUCAAACAAAUUCACCAAAAAAAAUAGAAUCAAUUAACGAAACACCACAUUUUUAAAAAUGUCUAAUAAGCAUGUAUUUUGUCAACUCAAUAUGACACAUAAGUGUUUUUCAAUGGUUAAAUCUCAACAAAGACCAAAAAUGAAAGAAUCUGAAUUAAUACAGGUUUAAUAAAAAAAUAUGGUAUGAAAGCAAACAACUUGAAAAAAGUUAAAUUUAAUAUUUUACAAAACAAUUAGACUAAAUAAAAAAAACGCCACAUCAUUUUAAAAUUUCUAAUAAGAAUGCAUGCAUUUUACCAAAUAGAAGAACACAUCAACAUUUGUCUAUUGUUAGAGUCCACAAAAGAUCAAAAGUGAAUGAAUUUGAAAUAAUAUAGAUUGAAUAAAAAAUAAUAUGCAUGAAAGUGAAUGACAUCCAAUUACUAAAAUUUAAGAUAAAAAAAUUAAACAAAUGACAUCCAAAAACUAACAAAACAAUUAUCAUAAUGAUGGGGCUUUCGAAGGAUUCUAUAUUAGGAUGGAUGAUCAUACUAGACCAAUAGCAACCACAUAGGUGAUAUAAACAUCACAUCUUCACACAAAAUCUCAAAGCUAUAUGUAUAUGAGUCAUCUCACUUAUAUAUUGUUCAAAAUAUAUUCUUUCUUCCAAUAUGUAGACCAUUAACUCACACUUGAUACAUUAACAUCUUUUAAUCAAGUGUACGACUAUUUGUGUCUGUAAUUAUGUAACAUAAUCAUAUAAGUUCAACAAGAGUUACAACAUUUUCAAAAAGGUGGAUUGAUAGUAAUUUCUCAGAGCUAGGUUUAUGGUCCUUUUUUUUCUUGAGAAAAGAGAAAGAAAAUUAGAAGAAACAAAAUGAAUAAGAAAAAGAAAUUUAAACAUGGGAGAUAUUAUAAGGGAAAGAAAUAUGUAGUGUGUUUUGUCUAUGAGAUUGUAGGAAAUAGAGUGAGUUGCCAGUAUUUUUAUGGUUUCGAUAAAGGAGUUGGAGAUUUUUGGAUAAUUAUUUUACCAAAAAGUUAGACUUAAUUUAAAAAAAAAAAAAACACAUCAUUUUAAAAUGUUUAACAAACAUGUGUUUUGUCCACUUAGAAUAAACAUCUGCAUUUUCCGUUGUCACAUCCCACUAAAGAUCAAAACGGAAGCAAUUUAAAAUAAUACAGGUUGAAAAGACAAAAUAGCAUGAAAAAGAAUGGUAUCCAAAAAAUAAAAUUAAAGAUAUAAAUUGACAUCACAUCUUCCCCAUGACGACAUUAGUUUUUAAGUCUUGCCACUCAUUUUUCUCAACAUCUAAUCUUGCAUCCAAUAUAUUUUUGAUUAAUAUCUUGAAUCCAAUAUAGAAUGUUAACUCCAAUAUGACAAAUUAACAUCUCUCUAAAGUGUGAGACUAUAUGAAUCUGUGAUCUGUUGACAUAGCUAAAUAAGCUCAUACUGAGACACAACAUAGUAAAAAAAAAUGUGGGUUGGUGGUGGUUUCAUGGAGGAAGAUUUAUUUUAUUUUCUUUUUUUGACGGGAUGGAAGGAGAUUUAUGUUUCUUUCUUACAAGAAAAUAGAAAAAAUAAAGUAGAAAUAGAAAUAAGAUAAAAAAAAGUAUUUUAACAUGAGAUAAACGAUGAGGAAAAAAAGAGAGUGUGUGCUUUAUUCGUGAGUGAAUAUGAAAUAGAGUGAGUUGUUGAUAAUUUUACAGUUUUGUUGAAGGAGUUGGAGAUUUUGGGGUAGUUAUUUUAGCAAAAAAAACUUAUUAGACGAAUGCUAUAUCAUUUUAAAAUUUCUAAUAAACAUGUAUUUUUUCCACUCAGUCGAACAUAUCCACACUUUUCCAUUGUCAGACUCCACCAAAAACCAAACGUGAAGAAAUAUGAAAUAAUGGAAGUUGAAUAAAAAAAUAUAACAUGAAAGUGAUGACAUCCAAAAACUAAAAUUUAAUAUAAGAAAAAAUAAAUGACACUAAAAAACUAACAAAAAGUUCGUCAUAAUUUUGAGACUCUCAGGGGGCUUCUACAAUGAGUUUGAUCAUCGCAUUAGCCUAUAAACCAUGCAAGUGAGGUUCAUAGAUCUUAACCAAAAACCUUAAAACAUCAGAUAUAUGGGUCAUCUUAUUUAUAUGUUGUUUAAAUUAUACUCUUCCAUCAUAUAUAGAAUUUAACCCACAUUUCACACAUUAACAUCUCUUAAUCAAGUAUACAACUCUUUGCGUCUAUAACUAUGUGACAUAGUCAAAGAAAAGGUUAAACAUAAGCACAUGUUCAUAAAGGUUGGUUGGUGGUGAUUUUCUGAAGGAAGAUUUAUGUUCAUUUCUUUCAUGAGAAGAGAUAAAGGAAUUUAGAAUGAAAAAAUGAAUUUGAACAUGAGAGAAAAUAAGAGUAAAAAAUAAUUAUUGUGUAUUUUCUGUGAGAGCAUACAAAAUAGUGUGAAUUUUAUGUAAUUUUAUGGGUUUGUUGAUGGAGUUGGAGGUUUUAUAGUGAUUAUUUUAAAACAAAAAAAAAAAAUUAAACUCGGUUAAAAAAGCAUCACAUAAUUUUAAAUGUCUAUCAAGUAUGUAAUUUGUCAACUCUUGCAUCGGAUGCGGAACUUUCACCCACACUUGACCAUUUAACAUCUCUACAUUAAGUAUAACACUCUCCGCACUGUGAUCUACCACCAGGAAACACUCUCACUUGCCCACAAAGUUGAAUCUAAAUAUGAUACUACCGUUGGACUUUUUGAGGGAUCAGACACUUUUGUGGAUAAACCCAUUGGAGAGAGCAAUCACACAAGUGAGGGCAUUAAGUGUGAGGGUUUCUCACUUAUAUGUUGUUAAAUUUCACCACUUCUAUUCAACGUUGGAUUGUAACCGACAUUUGAUACAUCACAACAUUCUCUCUUUUAAGUAUGGGGAAAUUAAGAAAACAUGCUUUAGCAUCCACGCCUACAGGUGUUCACGGGAUGGGUCAGUUUUCAUUGUAAUAUAUAUUACCCGAUGCAAUCAAGUAUCAUUAGGUUGGAUCAAUAAAUAAUUACACGUAACUUUUUAAAGGGGUUAAUUAUAUGGAAAACAUUGUCGGCUUAUGUUAGAUUGAAGGGGUGAAUUGUAUUGAAUGUUGCAGCCAGCGGUAUAACGGCUCUUCUAUUAUCAUGUGGAAGAACCGCACACUUGAUGUUGACAGUCCCUAUCGAGAUUAAUGAGGCAUCAUCGCUUACGAUGAAAAAGGAUAGUCGUAGGGCAGACCUGGUGCGUGCUGCAAAGUUGAUAAUUUGGAAUGAGGCUCUAAUGAUGCACCAAUGGUGUUUUGAGGCAGUUGACUCAUCAAUGCAUAUAUUGCUUGUUGUCCGAAAAGGAACGAGGCAGGAUAUUGUUGAUGCCUCAAUCAAUUCAUCAAAGAUAUGAGCUUAUUGUAAUGUGUUAAGGCUUAUUGUUAAUAUGAGAUUGGGUGCAUCUUCGAUACCUGUAGAGCAGGAAGAAAUUGCUAAUUUUUGCAAGUGGAUACUCUCAAUUGGAGACGGCAACGACGCUUCAGAUGAGAAUGGUAAAAUGAAGGUAGAAAUUCCUGAAUAUUCGCUCAUAUUGGACACAACAAAUCCGUUGAUGUCACUUAUAGACUUUGUGUAUCCCGAUUUGAAUGAUAACCUUGGUGACCCGCUAUUUUUCCAAGAAAGGGGAAUACUCGCUCCAACGCUUGAUUCAAUUGAGCAUGUUAACGAAUAUAUGAUGUCACUGAUUCCAGGUGAAGAGAAAGAGUAUUUAAGCUAUGAUUUUGUUUGUCGAUCGGGUGAAAAUUUUGAUGUCCAAAGUGAGUGGUUCACAACGGAAUUUCUUAAUGGUAUUAAGAGCUCUGGAAUUCCAAAUCACCGGUUGAAACUAAGGGUGGGAUGUCCAGUUAUGCUGAUGAGAAACAUCGAUCAGGUCAAUGGACUGUGUAAUGGUACGAGGCUAACAGUUACACAUCUAGGGAAGACCACGAUUGCUGCUAACGUAAUUACAUGAAAAAGGGAAAGUACCAGGGUGUUCAUUCCUUGGAUGAAUCUUAUUCUGAGUGAUCCAGGACUACCCUUCAAAUUCAGGCGCAUGCAAUUUCCAUUGACGUUUUGUUUUGCAAUGACGAUAAAUAAAAGUCAGGGUCAAUCUUUAUCUCGAGUGGGAGUUUAUCUUCCUAAGCCCGUGUUCACGCAUGGACAACUCUAUGUCAUUGUCUCUCGAGUUACUUCUAGAAAAGGUUUGAAGCUGCUCAUCUUGGAUGAAUAUAAUAAUGUUUGCAAGGAGACCACAUAUGUUGUGUGUCGUGAAGUUUUUCAAAAAGUAUGAUCAUUGGUUAUGUUUUAGAAUUGUUGUUGCUAUAAUUUAGAAAACUAAAGUUGUGCAUUGUUUGGAAGUCAUUUUUUUAAUUUCUUUGUAAGGCGUACUGGUCAUUACAGGACAUGCAAUUUCUAUAUAAGCAGAUCCUCCUGCCAUUGACUUUUAAAUGAUGCACUUUUCAGGUAUAACAAUACGCGAAACUAUUUUUUUUUUACAUCGUUGUUAACCUAAAAUACAAUAUUUGCAUUAGACCAUUGAUUUUGUAAUAAAACAAAUAACAAUCGGCGUUUCAGUAGCCCAAACUUAUACACACCCGUAAAAAAUUUAACGUUUGCAUUCACAAAUUAGGUGUAUACAUCUUGUGCUCGUGAUUUUCGGAUAUCAAACCAUUAAUUGAUUUAAAUCGUCAAUCUUUGAACUCUCGAUUUUUAUUCGUGGGAAGGGAAAAAAUGAGUAAAAACCCUUAUCGAGACUUUGGAUUCGGGGGUUGGUUACAUGAAGGGAAGGUGCUAGCACCCUAAGCGUCUACGGUAUUCCGUAGGAACCUCUUACCUAAUUUACCUUGUGCUAAAUUGAUUUGCUUAUUUGAAAAUUAUUACCUAAAAGUCUAAGUGAAAGAAUGGAGGGAGAAGAAGUAUGUUUUUGGUUAUUUUUAUUUGAAUUGGAAGGAUAAAAAUCCUAUGCCUACAUACCCUUAAAGAAAAGGGAUCAAAACCAAUGUAGUUCACCUAAAAAGUUUCUUUUUGGUGGGUUAGGUUGAUUUUAAGAUUUUUUUGAAAAUGAGUUUUUAGAAGAGAAAGAGGCCUCAAGGCAUGAGAUAAAAUAAGGUGAGGUUGGUCAAAUUUUAAUUACAAAGAAAUCAAGUCUAUUAUGAAUAUUAAUUCAAUUAAGCAUUUGAUUAAGAAAAUAAAAAGGAAAACACUUGGGUUACAAACCAAGGUUUAUUAAGAAAAUACUUUUGGAGUUUUGCAUAUUUGAUUUUUUUUGAAAAAAAUAUAUUUUUUAAACUAACAGUAAAACUAGCAUAACGGCAUAACGUCACAAGAAGUAAACGUGAAGUGUCGGUGCAUGUGUCGGUGCGUUGUGUUAUUACAUAUCAAUUCCUAGAUACAUUCUAUGGUCUCAAGAGAAAUAUAAUAGAAGAAAUAAAACGCGCAAAAUAAAUUACAUCAAUUUCCUAAUUAUACACGCUAAAUAAUACCAAUAAAAUAAAAUGACAAAGUUAAACAUGCAUGAGAUGAUUCAAAUAUACUAUAUCAAUAAUAUAAUGAAAAUAAAAUAACAAAACAGUAAAUAGACAAUCAACACAAAGCAAAAUAUUUUUGUAAACUUUUGGAGUAAUUUUUUUUGUAAGUGAAGGAGGUGCAGAAAGUAAAAACAAAGGUGUAAAAAGGAAAACAGUAGUGAAAUUUAAAAACAAUUGGGCUCAGACUGGAUAGAUAUGGACCGUCUGAUGAAUCCGAAGGUCUAGAUCUAAUCACAGGAAGUCUCAUCACAGCCACUGGAUCAGUGAUCCAACGGUUUAAAAAAAAACAGCACAAAAGCAUAGAAAUAACACAGGAGGCACAGUGACCAUCUGAUCAUGGAACUAUCCAGAUCCAACUGCUAGAAACAACAAGGCACAUGGAAUGGGAUAAGAGAAAUAACAUGGGAAAAUAAAAGGAAUAGAGACUAUAAAACGUAAAACAACAGCAUAUUACUCAUUUGGUUUCUUCUCUUCUCUUUCUAAACACAAAUGCUUCCUUCUCUCUACACUCAAAAACAACACCGCCCCCUUAUAUCAUCUUCUCCGGCGAGACAGUGUUUUCCGGCGCGAUGGCCGGUGGUGGCACCACCGCGCCGGAGUUUCAAACUCCUCUAAAUCAAAAAAGUUUUUACGUUUUUAAACAUCCUUUUCUUCAUACUUUUCGAAAAUCUACUUAGUUUUCACAAACAAACAACCAAAACUUCUAGAUCUAAACUUUAAAGAUCGGUUUCAAACUUUUUCCAUCUCUCAACCGUUUUCCAAAAAAAGAAACUCACAUCUCAUACAGAUUUAGGAAGUAAAAUGCAAAGGAGAAGAAAGAACAAAGUGAUACUGGUUACCUCUUUAGAUCGGUUACGAUCUUGGAGGUUAUACUUCUGAGAAAAAUAAAAAAACGUUCUUCCUUGCUCAAAACGGUUCGGAUUUAUUUCGAUUCACGCUCCAUUUUGAUCCGAUUCACGCUCCAAUCUCCUUCUCCAAUUCCGGUUGAAUUAUGGCUUGAAUGUGUUGGAUUUACGGUUCCGUCGAUUUGGUUGUGUUGUUAAUUUGGAAUCUUUUGUAUUUUUUGUGGUGAAAUCAUGAUGCUGGAAUUUUAGUGUUCAUAGUGUUCUUGAGAAACUAGAUGAUUUUUUGUGUCUGAUUUUAGAAAUCGGAGAGAGAAAUGAAAUUAGGGUUGGGGUGUUGACUGCUGCGGCUGAAGAAGUCUCUGUGUAAGUUUGUGCGGCUAGGGUUUGCUCAUCCUCCUUCUCUUUUUUUGCAGGUUUUAAUUUAUACCACUAGGGUUGAAGGGAAAAAGGAAACAACAUACUGGAUUUGGAAACAAAAGUUUGACAAUCUGCCUGAAUAUGAGGCGUGUAAAAAAUAUUUUUUGGACCCCUGCUGAGAUUUUUCUGACUCAUUGACAUUAUAGCACAAAACAAAAAUAAACUAUUAAAUAUAUAAAAAGAGUAACUAAUUUUAAAAUUAAAACUAAUAAAAGAUGGAAAUUAAACACUGAAAUAAAAAGAAAAUAAAGAGGAAAGAGGGCCCGGCUCGGAAUACUUCUCUGCCGAAAUUUCGUCUGAAACGACGAAAAUUCCCGACUUUAAAAAUAUGAAUAAAAUGGGUAAGAAUAGAGAAAAGUGGUCAAAAUUUGGGGUAUGACACAUCUGAAGUUGACUAUUAUAUAAAAAAAAAUACAAUUUUUUUUGUUUUUAUGAUUAAUAAAAUACAUUAUAUCAACAAAUAAUAAUAUACAGUACUUCGGCGUAUUUUUGCAAAAAUAUUACAUAUGUUAAGUUUAACAAUGAGUACAUCUUAUAGUACAAAUAAUUAGUAUAAGUAUAAAUCCAAUACUUUAAUCGUUAUGUGCAAUGUUUAGAUAUUUCAAAAUAUAUACAAAAUUAACAAGAUGAUAUUUUUUUCCAUAUCAAAUUUAAAUUAUAACCACAGUUAUAACUUUAAGAUAACAUAAUAUAAAAUAUAUUAAAAAGUGUUUUAUUUCCGUGUUUGGCACGGGUCACUAUACUAGCAUCAAGUGAAACUUGACCCAUGUAUAAUGUGUUAUCCACUUCUUAUUAUUAUUAUUAUUAUUUUUUUUUAGAAAUGCUAUGGACAAACUCUCAAGCACACUCUUUUGAACACACCCUCAAUCAUUGGUCCACAUCACCCCUUUUUUAAAAUCACUUAACUGGAUACUAGCUUAGCCUAUAAGUAAAACAAGGUUAAUCGUUCUUUACCCCCUGUAAUAUAGGUCAUUUUUUGUUUUCCCCCUUGUAAAAUAAUUUUUUUGAUUUACCCCCCUAUAAUUUUUUUUUAAAAAAAAUAUUAUACAGGAGGUAAAUAAAAAAAAAUAUUUUACAGGGGAAAACAAAAAAUGACCUAUAUUACAGGGGGUAAAACACCAUUAACCCAUAAAACAAGAGAAUUGCUGUUCCCACAUUACAUAAGGCUGUGCCACACGAAUAAAUGACGUUUUUGCUCCUGCGGUAGUUAACUACUGAAGUUUGGAACCGGCUGCAGUUAACUACCGAAGUUUCUUCGGCAGUUAACUGCCGACGAAAAACGAUAAAAAAAAAAAAAAAAAACCUCGGCACUUAAGUGCCGAAGAACUCAUAAUAUUUUUUUUUUCAAGAUUCUCUUAGCAUAAGUGAAAGAUAAAAAGUUUAUUAUUUGGCCCAUGCUUGCUGAAUGCAGACAAAUCUUUAUAUAUAUGAUAUUUUAAUUUCUUUGCUUGUUUUUGAUGAUAGACCCUACUUUCUUUGUCAUUCAUCAUAUACGUGCUAUUUAUUUGGACAUAAAUUAUCUUUAUUUGUUUACGAGUUUUUUUCAUUAAUUAUGGUGUAUGCAGGAAGCUGGAGUUCAUGUAAUAUGUACCUUGAUAAAAAAAAAAAAAAUUUAUGAGUUCUUCGGCACUUAAGUGUCGAGGUUUUUUUUUUUUUUUUUUUUUUCGUUUUUUCGUCGGCAGUUAACUGUCGAAGGAAGGAAUUUCGGUAGUUAACUGCCGCCAGUUCCAAACUUCGGUAGUUAACUACCGCAGGGGCAAAAACGUCAUUUACACGUGUGGCAUAGCCUUAUGUGAUGUGGGAACAACAAUUCUCAUAAAACAAACUGUUCUAAUAAACUUCAUCCUUUCCCAACCCACCGUCAAUGACCUUCUUUGUUCCGAAUUUCCACCUAACCAUUAACACCUCUUGAAUAUCAAUUUUUGAUCAAUUUCAUUCAGUUUUCCUGAGAGGUUGAAAGGUACCACUGAUGUUCUUUUUGAGCGAUGACAAAGUGUUCGAAAUAAUUUAAAUCUUCAAUUACUCGUGAUGCUUGUCAAAUACAGGAAUUCAUGAGAAUAGCACAUAACCUAUUUUAUUUAACUAGGCAAAACAUUUAACCAUCGACUCUAUGACAUAACCAUAAAUUGAAUAGUGUCUUGUGGGUCUAUGGGUAAAGAGAAAUCGUGUUGUGAAGAUAAGCAUUUUUUUUUUUUUUGGUCAAGUAGCCUAGAAGAUAAGCAUUUUAGUGUGUUGCUUUUGUAAUACAUACAAGUGCUUCUGGUUCAGCUUUGUUUUUUCUACUAUUGAUUUGGUGUCGACUUCUUAUUUGUUCUCCAUGUCCUUUUACAAGUAGUUCUAGGCUUCUAGCAUCCAAAAAAACCAUGUUUCCUUCCUUUUUUUUGAAGAAACAAAAAUGGUAUAUAUUAACAAAGGCGGUAAAACCUCCUAAGUACAAGAUGUACUAAGAAGUCACCCCUCAAAGAGUCAAACAAAUGUAGUAAUUACAAUAAACCGGGUGCGUCGAUACCUAAACAAAGCAUAGGAUCCGACCACCACCUUUGAGAACCGUACACAAAUGUGGCUUUACUAGCUUUUAGCCACCAUAAAGAGUGUAAUUUUACUUUUUCUGAUAAGCCUUCAAUGGAUGUUUGGGUAUUAUUAAAAAGUCUGUUGUUGCGUUCAUUCCAAACCAUCCACACACAAAGUAACCAAAUGAGCUGCAGAAAGGAUCUACGCGCCCUCGUAUGACCCGUACUAGUAAUAAACUGAAUAAAGUGGUCACUAAGAUCAUGGGAAUCAGCUUCGGACACGCCAAUCCACGUUUCAACUAUACGUUUCAACAUCAGAAGAAUAAGAAGACCAAGUUUUAGUCAAGAGUAGAUUAUUUAUCCUUUAGAUUGUACAAUGCAUGUUCAAUCUCUGUGGUUGUGAAUUUUUAAUGAUUUUAAGAACAAUCUUAAGUACUAAGUUAAAAGUUAGGCUCAUCACUAAAUGUUACAGCAAAAACAGGACUUUCCAUCUAUAUAAUUUCUUUCCAUUAUAAAAUAUAUAUUUUGAUAAUCCAAACCUAUACUUCACAUGUUAUUGUUGGUGCUCCCCAAGUAUACCUGUCCGUAAUUGUCGGUUAAUGUCAUCAAAUUGGUCUUAAGUAGACGAAAUUGAUUGCAUUGCUCGACAUAUAUGUGUCAAUCUGAUGUAACCUAUAAUGGUGUGGUCUAACGUGAUCGUGCUAAACUUUUGUCGACUAGAAUGCAUGUUCACUCUGCUUAAUAUAUUGACAUCUUCAUUCACACUUGUGUUAUAUCAAUCUUUGCUUUUAGUCUCAGUAUAUUUUUGUUUUGCAUUUAGUCCUUUUUUGGCUUUAAUCUUUCAAAUAUUUGUCUAAUGUUUGGUAGGGAGCUUCUAUGAUGAACUCAGGAAAAUGACUUCUUCGGUGAAGUCGUUUGAAUGGGCCAAUCAGAUUUUAAAUGAUGACACGUCAAAAACCCUAAUCAUGUUCCAGUGUAGUGCGGUCUACGGUAGCGUAAGUGAAGGAAAACUUUAUUUUAUGAUUUUAAUGGUUAGAUUUACUUGAUCUCUAUGUUAUUGUGGUACACCAUCUACACAUGAUUUUUCUUCUAGUACCAAUUUUCUCUCCUCUUUAUUUUUCUUUCUUUAUUUAUUCAUAUUCUCUCUCUUCCAGAUUUUUAUUAAAUCAACAUCUUCAUCUUUCCUUCAUCUUCUUCGUAUCAUAUCUUCAUCAACUUAUUCAUCAUCUUCAUGAGAGAAAAAAUAAAAAAAACCCAAAAAAAAAAAAAAAAAAUGAAAUUACAUAAUAAAAAAAAAUGUAGAUAUAACAUGCUUAUAUAUAUUAUAUAUAAUAUAUUUCGAUUUUAGACAUUAAAAGAUAGAUGAUAUGGUGGUUACAAUUUUGAUUUUGCACACCUACUUCCCUCUCAAAGCUCAGACCUCCCUCCCAUUCAACACUUCUUUUUGAAUUAAAUUAAAAAUAAAAUACUUUAUACUCAAUAUCUUAAAUUGUUUUAAAUUUUGCAUAAUUUUUUUUAGAAUAUUAUAGGUUGCACACAAUAUUAUGGAAACUUAUUUAUCUUAUACAAUUUUAAAAAAUGUUUAUAAUUAAUAAAAUAUAUUUAAUCACUGUCUAAAAAAUUAUAUUUAAAUAAAACAUAUGAUAAUAAUUAUCUUAUAUUAAAGAUAUGAAUAAUAUUUAUCUUUUUUUUCCAUGAUUCAACCACAUACAAUUAAUGCCUAAAAAAAUGUCAAUCUCUUACUCUCCAAAUUAACUUGUCAUUAUUUAAUAUAAAAUCUUUUUUUCAAGAAAAAGACUUCCUUUUAAAAAUUUAAAAGUGUAUAAUAUAUAAAAAAAACUUAUGCAUUAAAGUAAAUUUUUGUGUGAUGUUUUUGAUUUUUUUUUUUUUUUUCUGAAACGUAAGAUGUUUUCGAUAUCGUUAUUAACGCAAAUUUCCGAGCUAAUUAGCCAUUUUCGAUACUGUUUUUAAAUAAAUUUUCGAUGCCAAUAUUUCUUCUUUAAAAAAAUAUAAUAAUUUUUAUUCUGCAAUCACACUUAAUACGUAUUUAAUGCUAGCUGUAUAAAUUGAAUCACACUUAAUACGUUUUUAAUGCUUUUUUUUUAAGAAGAAACGGAAAUGCUAGUUUUUUUUAGGGCGUUUUAAUGGUAAUUAUUACUUAUUAGUACGUUUUUAAUGUUAACAUUUUCCUAUUAAGCCAAAAAAAUAAGUUAGAGUACCUAAGGUUCAAUUAAGCCUAAAAACUAUUAAGACGAAAAUGAUGAUUAUAUAAAUUGUUUUAAAUUAAAAUUGAAAAAAUGGAUUGGGUUAAAGUCACCAUGUUUACGAUAAUUAUAUUUUUCCUCUCAAUUCACGUCGUUGAUACUUUAACCAAUAUUGUUGCCCCAUAAACGAGUACUCGCUGAACCAAUAACAUGAUGGACAUACUAAUUUUCAGCCUGACCACAUCACUUCUUUUGUGCAUCUAUCAUAGAGAUUUGUCGUCUCAAUUUGAUAAAAAAAAUUACUUUUUAAUUGCUGGAAAUUAACUAAAAGCAUAGCUGCUCUUGAUUCAAUCUGUAUAAUUCUGCAACUAAUCCACUGAGAGUAUAUAUUGUCGCAUAGCAGCCGCAAUUAACACUCUACUUGUCCAUCAAGAGUUGGAUUUAAAUUAGGGUAAUUGACUUUUGUGUUGAUUAGAAAAUGGAGAUGAAGAAAAUAUUGAGAUUCAUGUUAUUUGGAGAUGUAUUUGAGUAGUUAUUUUGUUUUUUGUUCAAUAAAGAAGAUGAUGAAGGUAUGAAGAUGGCGAUGAUGUUCAUAAUCUUCCUUGGUUUAUUUAUUUUUAAUAAUGAAAUAUUUUUUUAUAAAAAGGUUUAUUUAAAUAUUUUUUGAAAUAGAAGGAAGAAAAAAUCAAAAAGGAGAUUAUGAACACAAUAACACUAGUGAAUUGCUUAAUCUGAUAGUUCAAAAAAGCUAGUCUACGGUGGUACAUAUUGAGCAGAUACACGGUAUAUACCAUACAACAGUCAACACACAUGACAUCAUUCAACAAUGUGGCGCAUUAUUAUUGGAUGUAGGAUAACUUCUCUGAAAAAGUCAAUUUAAUGACUUCACCAUAGAAUUUUCCAUGUUUGGAAUUAGACCUUAUAUACUCCAUAUAAUUUAGGUACUAAGAUCAAUAAGGUCUACAUAUUACAAGACUUUAAUCAACAAGAACUAAAAUUAAAAUAACAAGGACCAAACACAAAAUUGUGUACGAAUCACGGACUAGAAAAACAAAUUACAAGGACUAAAGGUGAAAUUGAAAUAUUUAAGGAUAUCUAUCCCUAUCACGAUAUUUAAAUACCUUCUUGAUAUUUCAGUUAAUACAUUUCUUUAUCCUUUAUAGCUAAUGAUAUUCUACCACUUUUUUUUGCACUUGAUACAAGUUAUGCGAGUCUGUUUUGUCCACUUUCUCCAUCCCUCUCUAUCAAAAUGAUAUAAAAGGAAGGCGAGCUUGCUUCUUAUUAUCGUGUUCGAUCUCACCACGAUCAUCAAUCGACUCCACACACAGUAAUAAAACCUUUUUCAACUUUGAUAACUACUUAUAUGUUUAUUCAGUUAUGCGAUUCUAACCAACCAGUUUUGUUCUAGGUGAUUCUGUAAUAAACUAUUCCACCUGAUACUCAAUGGACAUCACCAAACCAUAGGUGGUUGCACCUUAUGGUGCUUGUGAUGAGUGACCUAACCUUAUUGUAAUGUACAUUAUAACCUUCUCGUGUUGCAAAUAGAUGGAGAUUCACCUUCUUCGAUGAUGGUGUCUUUAUGCCUUAAUUUCAGUGCUAACGGGCGUCUAUCAUGCAGAACUUAGUGUACAGGGUUUGAUAUCUAUUAUGUACCUUGAGGAAAGGUUCACUUGUUGUGAUAUAUAUUGUGAAGCCAUGUUGAAUGUUUGUAAAUUAGAAGAUGCCCAGGUUGGCAAAUUAGAAGAAAAAUGUGUCAUCACUUGUGGCAACUUCAGACCCUUUUUCCUCAAUUCUCUUGUUUUUUUUAACCACUUUUGUUAUGCCUUGUCUUCAAGUUCCAACAUAACAGCAAACAACUUUUUACUGCCAUGAAUUUAUAUGAAGUUCAAGUUGUUGUGAGUUGUGACAUUUGUAAUGUUGACAUAAUGAAACAUAUGGUAUCAAAUAUCAAUGAAAUCUUUGUUAUGAUUCUGAUAUGUCAUUCAUUAGAUACAUAGAAAUUAUUUUUACCAGAGGUAAACCUACUCAUUGUUCAUGUGCUUACGAAAAUAUUUGGUAUUAAGUAGCUUUGAUGCAAUCAAAACAAAUAAAUUGGAGGCAUAAAUUUAUAAGAACUAGAUACUUGUAAUGUUGCUCAUUGGUAUUAACUAGAUACUAACCCGAGUGCUGCUAACUAUGAAGGCACAAAUUUCAAAAUUACUUGGAUAUUCUCAUGUGUGUUUUCAUAUUCCAGGUUUACUUGGAUGAACAAAUUUGAUUAGGUGUCAAUGAACAAAAUUGGGAGGUUGUUUUAAUUGAUCAUUAUAAAAAGAUAAAUUAUAAAGCAGAUUUCAUUCACCUCCUCUAAAGUUUUAUUAAAUGAAACCUAAUCCGGUUGAACCUAAGAGGAUGGUUGAGCUACUUGGAUCCGUCGUCUGUUGGGGUUGAUCCACCGGUUUGUUCGCCGUCUGUCUGGUUCAGUUGAGUUGUGGAGAUGUGAUGGUUUUGGUGAGGUUGAUCGUCAGCCUCCAGUGAGAGGAAAAGGGUUGUGUACAAACAUACACUCCGGCGCCCAAGUCAGUUAGGAGUUUAAGAGGAAAGAUCACAAGUUUAGGGUAAGAAGUGUCAUACCUGUCCCAAGGCUAAAGCGUAGGUAUAAAGAGGGGCUAAGUAGGGUUUGACUGGAAAACCUUAUCUUGACAAUCGUACUUGUUGGUAUAGACAUGGGUAAUCCUUGGCCCUGGAUAGCUGUUUGGCCUCUGUGGUUGUGGUUAACCCCUUGACCUCAUGUGUAACCCUCGGCCCGCACCGUAAUCUGGUGGUUUUUAGGGCGUGUCCAUCAUAUGGUGUCGCCUGCUUAAUGGACUCGAGUCAGACCCGAGUAGAGCCGGAUUGAGCUUUAGGCUAGUCCGGAACAAAACCCACUCCCCCUUUAGUUUGAAAAAACAUUCACAUCCCUUAUUUGCUCCAUGAUUAAUGCACUUUUCCCCUUUUAACAUUAAAAGUAAUAGCCAAUUUAAUAUUUAUAUAUGAAACUCUAUCAAACUCGUGCAUUGUACGGGUUAGAGUCUAGUUAAAUUGAAUUGGUAGUCAGUUUUCGAUAAACAAGAAAUCAUACAUUGUGUGAUUUAGAUCAAUGAGAAGACAAAUGGUUCCAUCGUUGUUCUUUUAAACUUUGUUCUAAAGAUGAUGGAGCAUAAAAAAUGUGGGUGCACCAUAAAGGAAAACUCAUGUAAGGGAAAUCAUUGGAUUAAUCGAAACAGACAAUUAAGAUUUGAUGUAAAACUAAAGUUAAUAUAUGGUGUCAACAAAUUCUAUUAAGUUUUCGUAUAUACACACUUAAAAUAUGCAUAAAAUAUGCAAGGUUCGAGGUUCGAACCCCGUACACCACCAAAAAAAAUAUACACACUUAAAAAGUCGUGAUUAAUUAUAUUUUGUACUCCUUUCGUCUCACAAUAAUAGUCUCUUUACCAUUUUUUUCUUUUUCUCAAAAUAAUUGUCACUUUAGAAUAUCAAUGCAGCAUUUAUUAUUAUUUUUUCCACUAUUAUACCCUUAUUUAUUGAAUUUCAUCCAACUUAACUACUCUACUAACUAUAAUUAAUAAGAAUAUUUUUGUAAAUGAUAUCAAUUUUACCAUUGAAAUCAAUACAAUUAAUCAUUUCCUUAAUAAUCGUGCACAAACCUUAAACGAUUAUAAUUUUGAGACGGAUGGAGUAAAAGAAAAUUUGAGGAAUGGAGUAAAUGAGUAAUGAAUUUUGAUAUCUUAUUAUAUUCAUUAAUCAUCUUCUAAAAAUACUCUUGAUAUCUUAUUAUAUUCAUUAAUCAUCUUCUAAAAAUACUCCCUUAAUUGUUAUUUAAUUGUAUUUGAAAGUUCAAUGAAACAUCGAUUAUUGAUUAGUUAACAUUUUCUAUGUUUGCUAAAAAUAAAUCGACAAUGUCACUUAAUGAAAAAUAGAUAUUAAAAAGAAAAGUACUCUCUCCGUUUCAAAAUGAGUGUCGUUUUAGAUGUUUACACACAUAUUAAGAAAUGCAGUGAUUAAGAGAAUGAGAAUGGUUAUUUUACCAAAUUAUCUUUAUUAACUAUUGGUUAGUUUUAAAAGUAAUACUUUGGAAGUAGUGUGCAGAGUAUUAAUUGGAGGGUACAAUUGAAAAGAAAAAGUUAUUAUCACAUUGGAAACUGAAAGUGACACUCAUUUUGAAACAAUUUUUUUGGCUAAAGCGACACUCAUUUUGAAACGAAGGGAGUAGUGUUAACUUGUGCUUUAAGGCACAUGUUAAGAAAUCCAAAAAAGAAAUAUUCCCUUAAACUUUGUGCAUUCAAUUCAUUAAAAAUUAAGUUUAAUAUACGCAUUCCAAUACAUUAUUUCUAUAUGUGGCUUCUAAACUUGUACCUUAAGGGCACAAGUUAACAUUUCCCUAAAAAAAAUUAGAUUAAUACCUCAAAUUCGUCCUUGAAUUUUCAAAAAUCGGCCAAAUUCAUCCCUGAAUUUUGGAAAAUAUCUAUUUAGUCCCUGAAUUUUACAAACGUCAAUCAAAAUGGUCACUCCGUCCAAAAGCUCCGUUAGUGGUGAUGAUGUGUCAUCUUGCAUGUUGUGUUGUCCUGUACACGUGUCAACAAGGCAGCCAUGUGUACAAGGACUAAAUUGAUGGAAAUGGUAAAAAUUCGAGAUUUAACUUUUCAGUGUAAUUUUUCCUGUCUUUUCAAUUAUACCCCUCUAUUACCUAUGUUGUCCUGGAUCGAUUUGAGACUUACUGUCAUAUUUUGAGGAUUAAUUUGAUGGAUUUUGUUAUAAUUUAAGGGCUCAUAUGAUUGAUUUUAUUUGCAGAGAAUGAGUACAAGGAGAUAUGGCAUCAGAGGACUAGUGAUUUCAAAUAACAUGCAUAAACAAACACCACUGAGGGAUCCUGCUCCACAAAAUCCAACUGCUCCUGGAGUUGUUAGAGUUCCAAAUCCAAAUUACAGGACAUCUGCUUCUACUCAAUCCCAAUACAUGGAGUUUAUCCCAACUCCAGGAUUUCCAAAGCAUUGAUGCAUGUUUAAAUUAUGUUUUUGCACUAGUUUAAUUAAUGUUUUUUGGACUUGUUUAGUUUAUGCUUUUUUGGAUAUGUAAUCACUUAAGAACAUCAAAUCAUUUGAUGACUUGAUGGCUAUGUAAUGUUAUUUUUUUGGCUAUGUAAUCACUUAUGAACAUCAAAUAUAUGACUUAUGAUGGUAUGCAAAUAUCUGUCUUUUUAUAAUCAAAGUGUCUGUCUUCUACUUUUUACUUUGUUCAACAAAUGUAUCCACCAAGGAUCAUAGUGAUGUAUGUUGUGAAAAUUCAAGGACCUAUUUGAUGGUAUUUUCACCAAUUUUAGGAUCGAUAUGAUGGAUAUGUAUAUAAUUCAAGGACCAGUUUGAUUGAAAUUUUUUGACAGAAAGGUUUGAUUCAUUCGUUGACAACCUCUUUUCAUAACAACAUUACAUGGACUUGGCAUAAUACAAUAGCAUUUUAAACAAUUCAAUCAAACAAAAUACUCAUAUCAAUAUCUUAAUCAACUUAAGCUCACUUCCUACACAAUCAACUUUAUCCAUCAACCUUGCCCUCCAAACCUCUUCUCUCCCCCUAUCAUUUGGCUUCUCCAUCAACCUUGCAUUUCUUCCAUGACCAACACCAUUGUUUUUAAAAUAACCUAGUUCUUCAGCUUCAUCAACCUACACAAAAAAUCUACAAUUUUCACAAAUAUAUUAUACAAUCAAAAGACAAAAUCAGUACUAUUUAAACAAAUCAUUCACACAUCACAUAACCAUUGUUGACAGUGUUGGCUUUUCUGACAACACAAAUUCUAGGACACCAACAUUGAAGCUCUCUCACCUCAUCAUUGUACAUAGAGCUUGAAGAUGAAGAUCGACUGUUGUAGUUGUUUUUGCCCAUACGUCCACCACCCAUCAUUUAUGAACACCGAAUCUUGAACAAUGACCACUAAUUUUUGAAUUUCAAAUUGAAUCAAAAAAAUUAGGGUUAGGGUUUUAAGUUUUUUGAAUUGGGGAAGAACCCAUCAUUUAUGGAAGAAAUUUUGGGGAUUUUGAACUCUAGGUGACAAAUUAUAACAUUAGGGUUCCAAAUUUAUAUAUUUGGGGAAGAAAGAGUUGUUAAUGAGGAAUAGGAGAAAGAGGCGUUGACAAUUUUCUGAAAAUCCAUCAAUUUGGUCCUUGACAAUUUUCAGUAAACUAAUUAAUUUGGUCCCUGCUUGCGUGACAUCUAACGUGGUAAGUCUUUUAAGAGAUUAACGUUACACGUCACCUCCGUUAAUAUAUCAACUUAACGGAGAGACUGAUUUGAUUGACAUUUUGUAAAUUCAAGGACAAAAUAGCUAUUUCGGAAAAGAUGAUGACUCUAAUGGUGGCAUAUACUACUAUAACCCCACAAACAUAUGUGACACGUGGCCUUGUAGACCCCACAAACAUACACUCAGGAAGUUCCCCUUCACCGGCCUCACCCCUCAAAAAUCCCCACCCCCACCAUCGCCUUCUUCGGUCACACACCACCGUAACCCAUCGUCCACCUCGCCAUCGCGGUACCGGAUCUACUCAAAUCCGUCUCUCCUACCACGACCCUGCCGUCUUUCCAUCCUAACGUUUGACAUCCAGAUCCAGCUUUUUUUUUUUUUUUUUUAGAGAAAUAAAUGCCACCUAGAUGUGUUGCUUCUCACUGUUGUUACUACUGUCACUGCCCACAGAGAAGACUAAGCUGCUAAAUACCAAGUCGCCUCGCUCCCUUUUGCUGCACCUUCCUUCAACCUUCUCAGUUUUUUCUACCACCUAACAUAUUCAGUUCAUGCAUCAUAUCAUGACACAACCUUCUUUGUCUGGCUCUUCUAUCUUCACCUAUGAUGUUUUCAUCAGUUUUAGAGGCAUAGAUACCCGCAACAAUUUCACGCGCGACCUUUACGAUAUUCUUGAUCAAAACGGUAUUCACACUUUCUUUGAUGAACAAGAAAUUCAAAAAGGAGAAGAGAUCACACCAUCACUUCUUCAAGCUAUUCAACAAUCUAGAAUUUUCAUUGUUGUUUUCUCUAACAACUAUGCUUCCUCUACUUUUUGCUUGAAUGAACUUGUCAUGAUCCUUGACUGUUCCAACACACAUAGACGCUUGCUUUUGCCGGUUUUUUAUGACGUCGAUCCAUCACAAGUUCGCCACCAAAGCGGUGCUUAUGGUGAAGCUUUGAAAAAACAUGAAGAGAGGUUUAGUGAUGAUAAGGAUAAGGUGCAAAAAUGGAGGGAUUCUUUAUGUCAAGCUGCUAAUGUUUCUGGCUGGCAUUUCCAACAUGGGUAGAUUAUUUUAUAAUCUCAUACCAUACUUUUAUGCAUUUAUUUUAAUUACCAUGCUUUUGUUUGUCUAAUAGUUUCUGUGUAUAUGAUUUUACGAUGAAAAGAAAUCUCAGAUACAAUUCUAGAUGAAGGGAACAUAGCAAGUAAAUAGGCAUAUGAUUAUUUGAGCUUUAUGUGCACAAAUUAGCCAUAUAAUAUGUCAAGUUCUUCACAAGUUCACUUGUACUUCACCAAUUGAUUUCUGAGUAAUGGUUGGUAAGGGACUAAUUUGACUGAUAUUUGAGACUUUUUAAGAACCAAAUUGAUAUAUUUUAUUUCUUUGGAACCAAAUAUGUCUCUUUGUUUUUUCUCAAUGACCAGUUUAGACCUUUACUUAAUAAAAGAUGAAUUUGUGAAACCAAAAAAACAGAUUUCUGAUAAGUUGACACAUUAUGUGACUAACCAAAGUAACAAAACUUGCAUUGCAACUUCUAAAGACCUAAUUGUAUUUUACCUAUAAUUAAUUUCGACUAAGAUGAAGCACUAAGAAUCGAUUCAGUGCUGCUGUUUCAAAUCAUGCAUACUUCUGUGAUGUGUAGGUCACAAUCAGAAUACCAAUUUAUUGGUAAUAUCGUCGAGGAAGUCACUAAGAAGAUCAAUCGCACUCCUUUACAUGUUGCUGAUAACCCAGUUGCGCUAGAGUCUCCAGUGUUGGAAGUGGCAUCUCUUCUACGGAUCGGAUCUGAUGAGGGAGCCAACAUGGUUGGCAUUUAUGGAACCGGUGGUGUAGGAAAAUCAACAUUGGCUCGUGCUGUGUAUAAUAACCAAAUUUCUGAUCAAUUUGAUGGUGUGUGUUUUCUUGAUGAUAUAAGAGAAAAUGCAAUUAACCAUGGUCUUGUGCAACUCCAAGAAACACUGCUUUCUGAAAUACUUUGUGAGAAGGAUAUUAGAGUGGGUAAUGUUAGCAGAGGAAUUUCAAUCAUAAAAAGAAGGCUCCAAAGAAAAAAGGUACUUUUGGUUCUUGAUGAUGUUGACAAAGCGAAGCAGAUACAAGUACUUGCAGGUGGACAUUAUUGGUUUGGCUCCGGCAGCAAGAUCAUAAUCACUACAAGAGACAAACAUUUGUUGGCUAUUCAUGAGAUUCUGAAUUUAUAUGAGGUUAAACAGUUAAAUCAUGAAAAAUCUCUUGAAUUGUUUAAUUGGCAUGCCUUUAGAAACAGAAAAAUGGAUCCAUGUUACAAUGAUAUUUCAAACCGUGCAGUUUCUUAUGCUCAUGGCCUUCCAUUAGCUUUGGAGGUGAUAGGUUCUCAUUUGUUUGGCAAAAGAUUAGAUGUGUGGAAAUCUGCAUUAGAUAAAUAUGAAAGAAUUCUUCAUGAAGAUAUUCAUGAAGUUCUUAAAGUUAGCUAUGAUGAUUUGGAUAAAGAUGACAAGGGUAUUUUUCUUGACAUUGCUUGUUUCUACAAUUCUUAUGAAAUGGGCUAUGCCAAAGAAAUGUUAUACGUACAUGGUUUUAGUGCUGAAAAUGGCAUUCAAGUGCUGACCGACAAAUCCCUCAUAAAAAUUGAUGGCAAUGGUUGUGUUAGAAUGCAUGACUUAGUUCAAGACAUGGGCAGAGAAAUCGUGAGGCAGGAAUCAACUUUGGAGCCUGGCAAACGCAGUAGAUUAUGGUCUGAUGACGAUAUAAUUCAUGUUUUGGAAGAAAAUACGGUAUGUGCAAACCUCAGAACAUCAAUGUUGUUCUUCUGAUUGAUAACUACUAAAUUUCUAGAUUCUUAUUUUUCCAUUCUCAAUUACAAAUGCUUAAUGAAACUUAUUUUAAUAAGAAAAUGAUAUUAUUAUUUAGAAUUUGUAAUUUCUUGAAAUAUGUAGAUGAUGAUAUUCCUAAACUUUAUAUUCUGAUGAAAUAAUGAUUUGGAAUUGAAAGGGCACUGAUACAGUUGAAGUCAUAAUCAUCGACUUGUACAAUGACAAAGAAGUGCAAUGGAGUGGAACAGCCUUCGAGAAUAUGAAAAACCUUAAAAUUCUUAUAAUUAGAAGUGCACGCUUUUCUAGAGGUCCUAAAAAAUUACCAAAUAGUUUAGGAGUUUUAGACUGGAGUGGAUAUUCAUCACAAUCUUUGCCAGGUGAUUUCAAUCCUAAGAAGCUUAUGAUGCUUAGCCUACAUGAAAGUUGCCUUAUAUCGUUCAAAUCACUUAAGGUAUGUAUUUUUUUAACAUGUUUGAUUGGUCUUAAACUAUAAUGCUUGUUUCCAGUAAAAAUCGCAUAAUUUCAUUUCAUUGCUUUUAUGGUUUGUAGGUGUUUGAGUCCUUGAGCUUUCUGGAUUUUGAAGGAUGCAAGUUAUUAACUGAGCUACCUAGCUUAUCUGGACUAGUAAAUCUGGGGGCACUUUGUCUUGACGAUUGCACUAAUUUAAUCGCAGUUCAUAAGUCAGUUGGUUUUCUCAAUAAACUCGUGUUAUUGAGUACUCAAAGAUGCAACCAGCUAGAACUUUUGGUGCCCAACAUCAAUCUGCCAUCUCUAGAGACUCUAGAUAUGAGGGGUUGUUUGCGUCUCAAGAGCUUCCCUGAAGUAUUGGGAGUAAUGGAGAAUAUAAGAUAUGUUUAUUUAGACCAAACUUCCAUAGAUAAGUUGCCAUUUUCAAUUAGAAAUCUUGUUGGCCUCCGACAAUUGUUCUUGAGGGAAUGCGCGAGCCUAACUCAGCUACCGGAUAGUAUUCAUAUAUUGCCUAAACUUGAGAUAAUAACGGCUUAUGGUUGUAUAGGAUUUCGAUUGUUUGAGGAUAAAGAAAAAGUGGGUUCAAAAGUGUUUCCAAAAGCCAUGCUUGUUUAUAAAGAAGGAAGUCCGGUAUUGCUUGAUAUGUCCUCUCUUAACAUAUGCCCCGAUAAUGCCAUAGAAGUAUUUUGUUCUUCAUUUAUUCGUAUGAAUGCUGAUUUCAUCAGCAUAGGGAUUCUUGAAGGUAGAGGAAAUUGGUAUCAACAUGAAAGCAACGAAUCAUCCUUACAUUUUUGGUUUCAAAAUAAAUUCCCCAAGAUUGCUCUUUGUUGUGCUGUAAAACCUCCUGUGUGUAAAGGCAAUAUGUUGUUGGAUUUCAAUUUCAGUGUGCUCAUCAAUGGCACUAAGCAAUUCACUUCUUCAUGCAACUACAUGUUUUCUGCUGAAAAAAUAACUGAACAAGUUCUUAUGUGUGAUUUACAGUGCAAAGUGGAAAGAUUGUAUUUAGAGCAUGAAUGGAAUCAAGUAGAUAUUUUAUAUGAGUUUAAAUACCUUAUGCCAUGUGGCUCUAAAAGGAUAAUGGCUACCCAUGAUAGGACCACAACAAGAAAUCCAAGUUGGUCCUUCAUUUAUGCCUUUGAAGAUAACAAAGUGGGUGUCAAAUUUCUGUCGGAGUUUGAGGAACGGGAAGAGCAGUACAGAAGAAAUGAAGCAUAUUCUUGGUUUGAUUCAUUUUUUUUCGCAAGGUUUGUUUGAGAAUUUAGAAAUGGUUAAUUAAGUAAAUGAUCCUGUAAAUAUUAAGAAUUUUGUUUAGUCUAUAAAAAUAAAUUCGCAUUUUUUCGUCUCUGUAAAAUUUUCCGUCAGCAUUUUAAGUAUGUUAAAAGAAAAUAUUACAGAGGUUAAAAAGUGCAAUUUUGGUUGUAGGAACUAAAAAUGAAUUUAUGAAUAUUUAUAAAGACAUUUACUUGAUUAAUCCAUUGAAAAAUAACUGGAUUUUGACUUGCUUUAAUUAAUUUAUUUAUUUUUUGAAAAAAUUUGUAUAAGUAUUGAAAUCUACAGGAGCGCGCGCAUGUGUAUAUAUAUAUAUAUAUAUAUAUAUAUAUAUAUAUCAACGCGGAGGAAUUAUCAUAGAAAUUGCACCAAUAUAAAAUUUUAUACUUUUUUAGGGAUAAAAUUUUAUACUAGUACUUAACAAAUACUUUCUCCGUUUCAAAAUGAGUGUCGCUUUAACAAAAAUAAUUUGUUUUAAAAUGAAUGUCACUUUCAAUUUUCAAUGCAAUAAUAACUUUUUCUUUCCGAUUGUAUAAUCCAAUUAAUAUAAUGUAUAACAAUCAAAACAUUAAUUUUACUUUACUUAAAACAUAUCUAUAGUUAAUAAAGAUAAUUUGGUAAAAUAACAAAAAAUAGUCUAAACAUUGCACUUUUUAAUGUGUAAAAACUUUAAACGUCGUUCAUUUGAAAAUGGAUUAAGGAUCGUAAUAUGCUUGUAGUUUUUUUUUUCAUAAAGGUAGAAUAUAAUAUGUAAGUAGUUUGUUUAUAUAAUAUAAUUAAUAUUAAGUAACAUAUUAUACUUAUCUUCCUUUCAGAUCUUUAUCUCCUUUAGUAAAAAAAAAGAGACCUGUCUUUCCUUUUUUCCCGGUCCAAAGGUUAGAGGUACCAGUGAUUGGGAUCGAUCUCGGAACCACAUACUCAUGCGUAGGUGUAUGGCAACAUGACCGUGUUCACAUCAUCGCCAACGACCAAGGCAACAGAACCACAUCGUCUUACGUCGCCUUUACUGACUCCGAGUGUCUCAUCGGUGAUGCCGCUAAGAAUCAAGUCUCCUCGAACCCUAUCAACACCGUCUUCGAUGCUAAGAGGUUGAUUGGUCGUAGAUUCAGCGAUAUCUCCGUUCAGAGUGAUAUGAAGUUGUGGCCUUUUAAGAUUAUUUCUGGCCCGGAUGAUAAGCCAAUGAUUGGUGUUAACUACAAUGGUGAAGAUAAGCAAUUUACUGCAGAAGAGAUCUCUUCCAUGUUACUCUGGAAGAUUCGUCAGAUUGCUGAGGCCUACUUUGGCUCUCCCAUUAGGAAUGCUGUUGUUACUGUCCCUGUUUACUUUAAUAAUUCUCAGAGACAAGCUACUAAGGAUGCUGCUGUUAUUGCUGAACUUAAUGUCAUGGGAAUUAUCGAUGAGCCCACUGCUUCAGCCAUUGCUUAUGUUCUUGAAACAACCAGUGUUGGAGAGAAAAAUGUCUUGAUCUUUGACCUUGGCGGUGGUACUUUUGAUGUCUCUUUGCUAACUAUUAUUAAAAAUUAUCAUGGCUUGUUCUGUGAGGUUAAAGCAAUAUCCGGAGACCCCCAUCUUGGAGGUGAGGAUUUUAAUAACAGAAUGGUGAACUACUUUGUUCAAGAGUUCAAGAGAAAGAACAGGAAGGACAUCAGUGGCGACCAAAGAGCUCUUAUGAGGUUGAGGACUGCUUGUGAGAAGGCCAAGAGAACUCUAUCAUUUACUCUCCAAACCACCAUUGAAAUUGUUUGUUUAUUCAAGGGAAUGGAUUUCUUCACCAUCAUUACUCGUGCCAGAUUUGAAGAGCUCAACAUGGAUCUCUUUAUGAAAUGUAUGGAGACUGUCGAGAAACUUUUGAGAUUUGCUAGGAUGGACAAAACAAGUGUCCAUGAUGUUGUCCUUGUAGGAGGUUCUACCAGAAUUCCAAAGGUUCAACAACUAUUGCAGGAUUUCUUUAACAGAAAGAAGCUAUGCGAUAGCAUUAAUCCCGACGAGGUUGUUGCAUAUGGUGCUGCAUUUUACGCUGCAAUCUUGAGUGGUGAGUACAAAAGAAAUGUCCAUGAUGUUGUCCUUGUAGGAGGUUCUUCUUUUGUUAAGAUUAUUUUGGUUAUUGAGAUCUGUUUGUUUCACUUUGAGAUCUGUUUCUUUCCAUUUGCAUGUUGUUGAUGGCUUCUUAAUUCUUUCUCUUUUCCCUCUUUUUUUUUUUCUUUUCCUUUUUGUGAAAUGAGUAUUGUUUCAUCCACAUUGGUUGAUAUUGUUUAAGAUCUGUUUGUUUACUUUGCAUGUUGUUGAUGGCUUCUUAAUUCUUUCUCCUUUCCCUCUUCUUUUUUUGUGAAAUGGGUAUUGUUUUUUGUAUAAUCAUGUUAUCGAUGCGAAAUAUCAACCCAACUUUACUGAUAUCUAAUCUCUGCCGGUGAACCUGGCUCACCACCUUUCCAACCAUGUUUUUCUCAUCCACAUUGGUCGAACAUGAGACCUUGUUUAAGAGAUCAGAGUCUAGUUAAUGUGAAUUUGUUUAUUCUAAUACAUUAGCAAGUGUAUAUUGUGGAAGCUUUGUAUUUUUGUUAUACUUUUAUGUCUUUUAGGGUGUGAUAGGUAGGUGCAUGCUUACUGAUGUUGAUAAAUUUGAAAUGGUUUUGUUGAUAACAUUUUGGUUACAACUUGCAAUCUACGGUUCAUUUAUUUUAAUGGAUUUGAGACAAAUGCAACUUUUUUCGAUAUUUUUUGAAAUAAAGUGAAAUGUCUUUCUGGAUGGACACUUGAACUUUGAUUUUUAAGAAAAUUUAAGCUGUCCCCUGUUCUCACUUGUGUGGUGCUACAAAUUGUUCAUGAAUCUAUUUAUAUGAAAAGAAAAUUUGAGUUUUAUUGUAUCAUAUUAUAAUAUUUCAAUAUCAUCAUCAAUGUCACGAGGGGUAACCUUGGUGCAACUGGUAAAGUUGUUGUCAUGUGACUAGAAGGUCACGGGUUCAAGUCCUGGAAACCGCCUCUUGUGUAAACAACAGAGUAAGGCUGUGUACAAUACACCAGGUUGCCCUUUUUUAUCAUCAUCAAUGUUCACCCAUACUUUGCUGCUUAAUAAUGUAUGUUUGCACACAAACACACAAAAGACUUGCAACUUUAAUGUAUGGUUUUGACACGACCAGCGUUGGAGAGAAGAAUGUCUUAAUCUUUGACCUUGGUGGUGGGACUUUUGAUGCCUCUUUGCUAACUUUUGAAGAGAGUGUCGUUGAGGUUAAAGCUAUAUCCGGAGACACCCAUCUUGGAGGUGAGGAUUUUAAUAACAGAAUGGUGAACCACUUUGUUUAAGAGUUCAAGAGAAAGAAGAAGAAGGACAUUAGUGGCAACCCAUGAGCUCUUAUGUGGUCGAGGACUGCUUGUGAGAAGACCAAGAGAACUUUAUCAUUUACUGUCCAUUUGAGGGAAUUGAUUUCUGCUCCUCCAUUUCUCGUGCCAGAUUUGAAGAGCUCAACAUGGAUCUCUUUAGGAAAUGUAUGGAGCAAGUUGAGAAAUGUUUGAGAGAUGCUAAGAUGGACAAAAAAAGUGUCCAUGAUGUUGUCCUUGUAGGAGGUUCUACCAGAAUUCCAAAGGUUCAAAAACUAUGCAGGAUUUCUUUGACGGAAAGGAGCUAUGCAAUAGCAUUAAUCCCGAUGAGGCUGUUGCAUAUGGUGCUGCAGUUUGUGCUGCAUACUUGAGUGGUGAGUACAAUUAGAAGGUUCAGGAUCUUCUCCUUUUGGAUGUCACCCCUCUAUCUCUUGGUUUGGAGACUGUUGGUGGUCUGAUGACUGUUAUAAGUCUUUCUCAACCUAUUCUGACAACCAGUCUGAUUUGUUGAUCAAAGUCUUUGAAGGAGAGGGAACAAGAAUUAAAGAUAACAAUUUGUUGGGAAAAUUUCAACUUUCCGGCAUCCCUCCUGCUCCUUGGGGUGUUCCACAGAUCAUUGUAUGCUUUGACAUUGAUCCUAAUGGUAUAUUGAAUGUCUUUGCUGAAGAGUGAAGACAAAAACUACUUGCCAGUUGAUCAAAAUCACCAUCACCAAUGACAAGGGAAGACUUUCAAAGGAAGUCAUUGAGAAGAUAGUUCGAGAGGCGGAGAAGUACAACUCAGAAGUUUAAGAGCAUAAGGAGGUUGAGGCCAAGAAUGCUAUGGAAAACUAUACAACACGAGGGACACCAUUAAGGAUGAAAAGAUUGCAGGAAAGCUUGAUUCCAAAGACAAGAAAAUUGAGGACACCAUUGAGGCUACUAUCCGGUGGCUAGACGCCAAUCAGCUUGCAGAGGCAGAUGAGUUUGAGGACAAGAUGAAGGAACCAGAAGGUGUCUGCAACCCUAUCAUUGCCAAGAUGUACCAAGGUGGUGCUGGUCUUGGCAUGGAUGCUGCUCCAGGGAAUGAUGAUGUUCCUUCUGGUGCAGGCGGUGCUGGCUCUAAGAUUGAGGAAGAGAACCAAACUUAGUUACUUUCUUCUGAUAUGUGGUUUAUAUUUUCAUGUAUAAUUUUGUUUUGAUGUAUUAAUCUCGCUGGAUUUAACUUCGACGUUUUGGCUGGUUUGUGAUUUUUUUGGUAUUCGAUUAUCUUCGUACUAUUAAGUGUUAUCUUUUGUUUUAAGUAUUUCAAAAAAAAAAAAAAAAAAAAAAAAAAAGAUAUAUGUAUUAAUCAAAAUACAUUAUAUUAUGUUUAAAAUAACCAAACAAAAAAAAAAAUUAAUACCAAGACUUAGAGUCCAUGCCCGCACAUUAUAUAGACUAUAUCAAUAAUUUUAUGUAAUACUAAAGUUAAUUAAUUAAUCACAAGUCAUUGAUCUUUAUUGUAAUAUGUACUUGUUUUUUAUAUUUUAGAUGUGUUUUAAUAAUAUGAUGCUUAAUAUUUUAUAUGUUGAUUUAAGAGAUUUCAGAUCAUAUUUUAAUUAUGUUGUGAUAUUUUUUUUUUUGUUAUUUAUUACCUUUUUGUUGUUAAAGUGAGGGUAAUGGGCGUGGGUACGAGCGCUUAGAGAUCCAUAGUGUAUGGGGAAGAGCAUCAAACUUGUUAUGAGCUCAGAUAUGGGGAUUUUUAUAAACGAGGAUAUGGGGAUGGACACUGUAGUACCCUACCUAAAGGGUACUCAUUCUGAUCCCCACAAGAAUACAUAAAACUCUAUAGCACCUUUUGAAGGAUCUCUUCAAGGCUUAAUGUGACUAUAGCUACACCAGCUCAACCCAUAUUUUAAAAAAAUAAAAAAUUAUUGUUUUGGUGUGGGAAAAUUUAUUGUUUUGCCAACAAGUACCAAGUCAAUGCCUCACAAGCUGCCAACAUCACACACAAUAUACAAACAAACACUCAGACUCAGAGAAAUCAAUUUUCCUCAAUUCUCAUAUCAUGAAACAUCCGUCAUUGUCUGUCUCUUGUAGCUUCACCUAUGAUUGUACUUGUGAUGUUUUCCUUAGUUUCAGAGGCAUAGAUAUCCGCAACAGUUUCACCGGUAACCUCUACAGGUCUCUUGAUCAAAAGGGUAUUCACACUUUCAUUGAUGUAGAAGAUAUUCAACAAUCGAGGAUCUACAUUGUUGUUUCCUCAACUUUUUAUUAUUUUUAUGUUUUGUAGGUGCUUGAGUCGUUAAGCUUUCUGGAUUUUGAAGGUUGCAAGGUGUUAACUGAGCUACCUAGCUUAUGUGCACUAGUUAAUUUAGUCACGAUUCAUAAGUCGAUUGGUUUUCUCGAUAAACUCAUGCUAUUGACUACUCAAAGAUGCAACCAGCUAAAGUUUUGGUGCCUUACAUCAAUCUGGCAUCUCUAGAGACUCUGGAUAUGAGGGGUUGCUCGUGUCUCAAGAGCUUCCCUGAAGUAUUGGGAGUAAUGGAAAAUACAAGAUAUGUUUAUUUAGACCAAACUUCCAUAGACAAGUUGCCAUUUUCAAUUGGAGAUCUUGUUAGCCUCCAAGACUGUUCUUGAGGCAGUGCAAGAGUCUAACUCAGCUACCAGAUAGCAUUCGUAUAUUACCUAAACUUGAGAUAAUAAAGGAAAGGAGACACUGCUUGAUGUGUGUUCUCUUAAUAUCUAUGCCAACAAUGACAUAGAAGUAUGUAAGCCUUCGUUUGUCAGUAAUGAUUUCGGAUUCGUGUUUAAAGGGAUUUUUUAAGGGAGAGUAAAUUGAUACCAGCAAGGAAUCAAGGAAGCAUCAUUAUGUUUUUGGUUUCGAAAGAAAUUCCCUCAGAUAGCUCUAUGUUGUGCUGGAGAACCUCCUAUGUAUAAAGACAAUAUGUUGUUGGAUUUCAAGUUGAGUGUACUCAUCAAUGGCACUAAGAAAUUCACUUCUUCAUGUAACUUUCUGCAGGAAGGAUAUCAGACCAAAUAUUUUCUUUUAGCCAAAUAUUCUAUCCCCACUUUUCCAAUUUCAGUCUCCCUCCCAUAGCUCCAAAACCCUAAUAGCCAAUUUCAAUCUCACUUUCCCCCAAUUUGAAACCUAAAUCUCUACCACCUAUGGUUCAAUCGAAGCAUUCCCAAAAUUUCAUUUUCCAAUUUCAUUUAAGCUCUCCCCCAAUUUCACCUUCACCCACAAUCUCGGCCAGCAUUGAUAAACAAAGCAGAGUUGAGCUGUGAAAUCAAUCAAGUUCAGUUUUUUAUCAUCUUCUCAACCAGGUUCGUUCCUUCCCUUCUCUCACUAUUCUUAUUCCUUUCUCUCAAUUAUCGAUCCCUUUCCCCUUUCCUUUUCUAGGGUUUCUGUUUUUUUAAUUAACAACCUCACCCUAAUUCAUAAUUUACCUAUCUCUCUCUCUAAUUGAAAUUUUAAUUUAUUUGAUUAAUAUUUAAAUGAAGUAUCUAGUAUAUGUGCUUUUUGUUGAAUCGGUGUGAUUAAGUGUUUUCUUUUACCUAAACGCGAUCUUAUUAUUGUUUAUCAUGAUUAAUCAUUCUAAUUUGUGUCGAUUCUUUUAUAUCAUUAUUGAAUAGCUGGGUUAAGUUUAAUGUGUAACCUAGCUAGAUUGUUUUUUAUCAAGCUUGUGAAUAUUUGAUGCUUCUGAUAAAGGUUCUGUUUGAUUGCAAAACUAGGAAGCUGUUUGGCAUCACGUUGGUUUGUCGCGUCGAAAUCACGUUGAGCUACUUUUUUUGGGUGUAACCCUUCGGUUCUUAAGGGAAAAAGUGUCUUGUAAUUUGGAGUUCAGCGGUAAAGUUUGACCAAGAAUUGCUCUUCUAAGAAAUCAAACUCAGGUGAGCUAUUGUGAUUUUGCAAAAGCUAUAUAGUGUUUAGUUUUGCAAAGUUGCGUUUGAUUUGGUAACGGUAACGAUUUCUGAUCUCAGAUCUGUUGAAUUUUGGUACUGUGGUGAUUCACCUUAUGUUGAAAAAAUUUAAUUGCUCCUUUUUUGUUUUGUUAAUUUCUUGAUCUGUAUGGACAAUUGGAUUCAUAUACAUAUAGGUGUAGAUGAAUCUUGAAUAUUAUAUGUAAGGAUCUUUGCUAUUUUUUUAUUUUGUAAUAUAUUGGUUUUGGUUAUGUUGUUGAUGGAUCUGUCAAUUUUCUAUUACCGAUUUAUUCAUUCUGUAAUAUUAGCAGCUCUUAGUUCUUUGAUUUGGUUUAUCAUGAAUCGAUAGCGCAAAUCAAUAAGGAAAUUUAUCAUUGUUCUGAGUUGUUUGUAUAAUCAUUAUGUUCAUUUUAUGUUGCUUGUUUCUGGUGUGUAGAGAGAAUAGAAAUCUGUGUUUAAUCUUUUUUCUUGUUUUCUCUGAAGUUGUGAUAGCAAUGUUGUUAUGUACCUAGGCAUAUUGGGUUACUGCUAUCACGCAUUUGUGAAUCUCGACUUUUGGAUGAAGAUCAGACUAUUUAUAUUUUGAUCUUCAUUCAAUUUGAUGGAGUCAGAAUACAAAGUCUGAUCUUCAUUCAACUGCCAUGAUCCCUUGAUCGUGUGUCUGCACACUUGAAUAUAGAUUUAGGUAAUGUAAUCCUGAUGUUUGCAUGAAGUAAUUUUAACUUGAGAUAUAUUUUUGAAAGUGACUGGAGAGUUUGCAUUUGUCAAAUUAUAGGGAAAACAUUUAGUUUGAUCCUGGAAAAACACGCGUCUCAAAGAAUAAUAUGUCAGUAGAGAUAACAAAGAGGAUGUCAAAUUUCUGUCUGAGUUUAUGGAAUGCAAGGAGGCUGAGAGAAGAAAGGAAACACUAUUGAUAGAAAAGAUCAAAUGUGGUCUACUGAAAACCGAUCCCCUGUUCUAGAUGAGCAAAACACGGUUUUUUCUGGGUUCACUCAUUCAAAAGUGGAAAAAACAGCGUUUCUUGUCCGUCCAGAACAGGACUUCCGGAUGGAAUCGGUUUUCAAAGAAAGGUGUGGGGAAAUAAAAACAGCUCACUUAUUUUGAUUCAAGAUGUAAACUCCAUCUAAUUCAGUGGAUAAUCCAUAGUAUACCAUAUAAUAUUUUAUGGUAUCUCCAAAAAUAUCUCAUGAGUUUCUCAUUUUUUUUUUCUAUAGUUGUCGACAUGUUUCAGAAAAUACAUAUACACAGAGAUCAAAAUAAAUUAUCACAAAUUAAGAUGUCCCUCAAACAAAAUAUAUUUAAGUAUGUUUCACACAAAUUAAAUAGACAUAUCACAAAAAUUUAUGCUGAGAGUUUUUUCAAUUUAUUGAAAGAAACAUGUUACCAUGGCCACAAAUUAAAUAGAGAUUCUACAUAAAUAUACACACACACACAGAGGAUGCAAUGAGCUGCUUCUACACAGAAUCUCUAACAUUUGGAAAAGUCAUAUAUAUACGUUCAAUCAUUGUACAUGACAUAUAAAUAAUUGAACAUGAUAAUGACACCAUGAAGAUGAACUAAGUACGUAACAACUUAAUUGAUUAUAAAAAAUAAGUGAUGUUAAAACUAUUAUGUGAAAGAAGUAUCAAGAGACUAAUUUAACAUGUUAUAUUCAAACAUUGAAUAUGAGCAUAUACGUCAGGCUCUAGACAUCAUCAUAAUAAUAUUCAUUAUUUAAAGGGAACCAACACUCAACCAUUUCACAUGUUGCAUAUAAGUAAGCAAAAGUCAUAUAUUCACCAAUUAGUUCUACGAUAAUACAUUAAGAAUCUGAUAAAAUAUUUAUAAUCAAAUCAUACUUCAACAAAUUAUUUUCCAUAGAGAAGACUUAGCUGCUAAAUGCCAAAUCAAUGCCUCACUCACUCCCUUGUGGUGCACCUUCCUUCAACCUUCUCAGAAUUUUCACCUACAACACAUUCAGUUCAUUUAGAUAUCAACUUAAUUUCUUCUACAUAAUAUACAAACAAACAUCAAAAACAACACUCAGACUCAGAUAAAUCUGUUUUACUCAAUUCUUGCAUCAUAUCAUGACACAGCCUUCAUUGUCUGUCUCUUCUAGCUUCACCACCUAUGAUGUUUUCAUCAGUUUUAGAGGCAUAGAUACCCGCAACAAUUUCACCCGUGACCUUUACGAUAUUCUUGAUCAAAACGGUAUUCACACUUUCUUUGAUGAACAAGAAAUUCAAAAAGGAGAAGAGAUCACACCAUCACUUCUUCAAGCUAUUCAACAAUCUAGGAUUUUCAUUGUUGUUUUCUCUAACAACUAUGCUUCCUCUACUUUUUGUUUGAAUGAACUUGUCAUGAUCCUUGAGUGUUCCAACACACAUGGACGCUUGUUUUUGCCUGUAUUUUAUGAUGUCGAUCCAUCACAAGUUCGCCACCAGAGUGGUGCUUAUGGUGAUGCUUUGAAAAAACAUGAGAAGAGAUUUUCUGAUGAUAAGGUGCAAAAAUGGAGGGAUGCUUUAUGUCAAGCUGCUAAUGUUUCUGGCUGGGAUUUCCAACACGGGUACAGUAUUUUAAUAAUCUCAUACCAUACUUUUAUGCAUUUAUUUUAAUUACCGUUCCUUUGCUUGUCUAAUAGCUUAUAUAUAGACGAUUUUAUAAUGCAAAAGAAAUAUCAGAUUCAAUUCUAGAUGAAGGGAACAUAGCAUGUUAAGUUUAUGUGCACCAAUUAACCUCAUAAUAUGUUAUGUUUUUCAUAAGUUCAGUUGUACUUCACAAAUUGAUUUCUGAGUAAUGGUUUGGUAAGGGACUAAUUUGACUGAUAUUUGUGACUUUUAAGAACCAAAUUGAUGCUCUUUAUUUCUUUGGACCCAAAUAGGUCUCAGUGUUUUUUCUCAUUGACAUUUGACAAGUUUAGACCUUUACUUAAUCGAAUGAUGAAUUUGUGAAUUGUGAAACCGGAAAAACAGAUUUGUGAUAAGUUGACACAUUAUGUGACUAACCAAAGUAACAGAACUUGCAUUGCAACUUCUAAACACCUAUUUGUAUUUUACUUGUAAUUAAUUGACCAAGAUGAAGUACUAAGAAUCGGUUCAGUGCUUCUGUUUCAAAUCAGGUAUACUUUUGUGUUGUGUAGGUCACAAUCAGAAUACAAAUUUAUUGGAAAUAUCGUUGAGGAAGUCACUAAGAAGAUCAAUCGGACUACUUUACAUGUUGCUGAUAACCCAGUUGCAUUAGAGUAUCCAAUGUUAGAAGUAGCAUCUCUUCUAGGUUCUGGACCUGAAAAGGGAACCAACAUGGUUGGAAUUUAUGGUAUCGGUGGUGUAGGUAAAUCAACAUUGGCUCGUGCAGUUUACAACCAUAUUUCUGAUCAAUUUGAUGGUGUGUGCUUUCUUGCUGGCAUAAGAGAAAGUGCAAUUAAUCAUGGUCUUGCACAACUCCAAGAAACGCUACUUUCUGAAAUACUUGGAGAGGAGGAUAUUAGAAUAAGAGAUGUUUAUAGAGGAAUUUCAAUUAUAAAAAGGAGGCUCCAAAGAAAAAAGGUACUUUUGGUUCUUGAUGAUGUUGACAAAGUGAACCAGAUACAAGUACUUGCAGGAGGGCAUGAUUGGUUUGGCCCCGGCAGCAAGAUUGUAGUCACUACAAGAGACAAACAUUUGUUGGCUAUUCAUGAGAUUCUAAAUUUAUAUGAGGUUAAACAGUUGAAUCAUGAAAAAUCUCUUGAUUUGUUUAACUGGCAUGCCUUUAGAAACAGAAAAAUGGAUCCAUGUUACAGUGAUAUUUCAAACCGUGCAGUUUCUUAUGCUUCUGGCCUUCCAUUGGCUUUGGAAGUAAUAGGUUCUCACUUGUUUGGCAAAAGUUUAGAUGUAUGGAAAUCUUCAUUAGAUAAAUAUGAAAGAGUUCUUCACAAAGAGAUUCAUGAAAUUCUUAAAGUUAGCUAUGAUGAUUUGGAUGAUGAUCAGAAGGGUAUUUUUCUUGACAUCGCUUGUUUCUUCAAUUCUUAUGAAAUGAGCUAUGCCAAAGAAAUGCUAUACCUACAUGGUUUUAGUGCUGAAAAUGGAAUUCAAGUGCUGACCGACAAAUCCCUCAUAAAAGUUGAUGGCAAUGGUUGUGUGAGAAUGCAUGACUUAGUUCAAGACAUGGGCAGAGAAAUCGUGAGGCAGGAAUCAACUGUGGAGCCUGGCAGACGCAGUAGAUUAUGGUUUGAUGACGACAUAGUUCAUGUUUUGGAAACAAAUACGGUACGUGCCAACGUCAAAACAUAUAAGUUGUUCUUCUGGUUGAUAACUACUAAAAUUCUAGAUUCUUAUUUAUCCAUUCUCAAUUAUAAGUGUUUAACUAAACUUAUUUUCAUAAGAAAAGGAUGUUAUUAUUUCGAAUUUGUAAUUUCUUGAGAUUUGUUGAUGAUAUUCAUAAACUUUACAUUCUGAUCAAAUAAUGAUUUGGAAUUGAAAGGGCACUGAUACAAUUGAAGUCAUAAUCAUGAACUUGUGCAAUGACAAAGAAGUGCAGUGGAGUGGAAAAGCCUUCAACAAGAUGAAAAACCUGAAAAUUCUUAUAAUUAGAAGUGCACGCUUUUCUAGAGGUCCUCAAAAACUACCAAAUAGUUUGAGAGUUCUAGAUUGGAAUGGAUACCCUUCACAAUCUUUACCAGCAGAUUUCAAUCCUAAGAAUCUUAUGAUACUUAGCCUUCCUGAAAGUUGUCUUGUAUCGUUCAAAUUGCUCAAGGUAUGUAUUUUUUUUUUACACAUUAAACUGGUUUAUGCAUAGCAAUGCUGUGUCUUUUAGGUCUAUGAAUGUUAUUUUUAAGAGGUUUGGUUUUGCAAUCUAGAAAGGGUUAGUAGUGCAGCUUGUUGUCUAUCUGCCUUUCGUUCCUAUGUGUGUGUGUGUAUAUAUAUGGUACUAAAAAAGUUAACAAUUAAACAAUUAACCUUGUUUGAAUGAAAGAGCAUGCCAAUUAGAUGCAUUUGUUACUGGUCACUAUAAUGUGAGUAUCCAGUAAAUAUCUCAUAAUUUCAUUAUUUUAAUGUUUUGUAGGUGUUUGAGUCCUUGAGCUUUCUGGAUUUUAAAGGUUGUAAGUUAUUAACUGAGCUGCCUAGCUUAUCUGGACUAGUUAAUUUAGGGGCACUGUGUCUUGACGAUUGCACUAAUUUAAUCAGGAUUCAUGAGUCGAUUGGUUUUCUCAAUAAACUCGUGCUACUGAGUAGUCAAAGAUGCAAACAGCUAGAACUUUUGGUGCCCAACAUCAACCUGCCAUCUCUAGAGACUCUAGAUAUAAGGGGUUGCUCGCGUCUCAAGAGCUUCCCUGAAGUAUUGGGAGUAAUGGAGAAUAUAAGAUAUGUUUAUUUAGACCAAACUUCCAUAGGUAAGUUGCCAUUUUCAAUUAGAAAUCUUGUUGGCCUCCGACAAAUGUUCUUGAGGGAGUGCAUGAGCCUAACUCAGCUACCGGAUAGUAUUCGUAUAUUGCCUAAACUCGAGAUAAUAACGGCUUAUGGUUGUAGAGGAUUUCGAUUGUUUGAGGAUAAAGAAAAGGUGGGUUCAGAAGUGUUUCCAGAAGCCAUGCUUGUUUGUAAAGAAGGAAGCGUGGAAUCGCUUGAUAUGUCCUCUCUUAACAUAUGCCCUGAUAAUGUCAUAGAAGUAUUUAGUACUUCAAUUCUUGAUGGUAAUGUUGUAUUUAUGAGAGAAGGGAUUGCUAAAGGGAGAGGAAAUUGGUAUCGACAUGAAAGCAACGAAUCACCCUUACGAUUUUGGUUUCAAAAUAAAUUCCCCAGGAUAGCUCUGUGUUGUACUGUAGAACCUCCUGUGUGUAAAGACAAUAUGUUGUUGGAUUUCAAGUUGAGUGUUCUCAUCAAUGGCACUGAGCAAUUCACUUCUUCAUGCAACUACAUAUUUUCUGCUGAACAAAUAAUUCUUCUGUGUGACUUAGUGUGCAAAGUUGAAAGAUCGUAUUUAGAGCAUGAAUGGAAUCAAGUAGAUAUUUUAUAUGAGUUUAAAUACCUUAUGCCAUGUGGCUCUAAAAGUAUAAUGGCUACCCAUGAGAUGACCACAACAAGAAAUCCAAGUUGGUCCUUCAUUUAUGCCUAUGAAGAAGAUAACAAAGUGGUUGUCAAAUUUCUGUCCCAGUUUGUGGAAUGGGUAGAGCAGCACAGAAGAUAUUUCUCAUAUUAUUGGUUCGGUUCAGUACUUUACACAAGGUUUGUUUGAGAAUUUAGAAAUGGUUAAUUAAGUAAUAUAUAAUAUAACUAAUAUUAAAUAACAUAUUAUACUUAUCUUCCUUUCAGAUCUUUAUCUCCUUUGGUCAAAAAAAAGAGACCUGUCGUUCCUUUUCCAGUCAAAAAGUUAGAGGGACCAGCGAUCGGGAUCGAUCUGGGAACCACAUACUCAUGCGUAGGUGUAUGGCAACAUGACCGUGUUGAAAUCAUCGCCAACGACCAAGGUAACAGAACUACACCAUCUUACGUUGCCUUUACCGACUCCGAGCAUCUCAUCGGUGAUGCCGCUCUGAAUCAAGUCUCCUCGAACCCUAUCAACACCGUCUUCGAUGCUAAGAGGUUGAUUGGCCGUAGAUUCAGUGAUCCCUCCGUUCAGAGUGAUAUGAAGUUGUGGCCUUUUAAGAUAAUUUCUGGCCCGGAUGAAAAGCCAAUGAUUGGUGUUAACUACAGUGGUAAAGUUAAGCAAUUUGCCGCAGAAGAGAUCUCUUCCAUGGUACUCACGAAGAUGCGUGAGGUUGCUGAGGCCUACCUUGGCUCUGCCAUUAAGAAUGCCGUUGUUACUGUCCCUGCUUACUUUAAUUUUUCUCAGAGACAAGCUACUAAGCAUGCUGGUGCUAUUGCUGGUCUUAAUUUCAUGAGAAUUAUUAAUGAGCCCACUGCUGCAGCCAUUGCUUAUGGUUUUGACACGACCAGCGUUGGAGAGAAGAAUGUCUUGAUCUUUGACCUUGGUGGUGGUACUUUUGAUGUCUCUUUGCUAACUAUUGAAGAGUGUAACUUUCAGGUUAAAGCUACAGCCGGAGACGCCCAUCUUGGAGGUGAGGAUUUUAAUAACAGAAUGGUGAACCACUUUGUUCGAGAGUUCAAGAGAAAGAACAAGAAGGACAUUAGUGGCAACCCAAGAGCUCUUAUGAGGUUGAGGACUGCUUGUGAGAGGGCGAAGAGAGCUCUAUCAUCUACUGCCCAGACCACCAUUGAAAUUGAUUGUCUAUUUGAGGGAAUUGAUUUCUAUACCCCCAUUACUCGUGCCAGAUUUGAAGAGCUCAACUUGGAUCUCUUCAGGGAAUGUAUGGAGCAAGUUGAGAAAUGUUUGAGCCAUGCUGGGAUGUACAAAGGAAGUGUCCAUGAUGUUGUCCUUGUAGGAGGUUCUACCAGAAUUCCAAAGGUUCAACAACUAUUGCAGGAUUUCUUUAACAGAAAGGAGCUAUGCAAGAGCAUUAAUCCCGAUGAGGCUGUUGCAUAUGGUGCGGCAGUUUACACUGCAAUCUUGAAUGGUGAGUACAAAAGAAGUGUCCAUGAUGUUGUCCUUGUAGGAGGUUCUUCUAUUGUUAAGAUUAUUUUGGUUUUUUUCAUAUUGAUUGACACCUGACUUUCCUUUUCCAGUCGAAAAGUUAGAGGUACCAGCGAUCGGGAUCGAUCUCGGAACCACAUACUCAUGCGUAGGUGUAUGGCAACAUGACCAUGUUGAAAUCAUCACCAAUGACCAAGGUAACAGAACCACUCCGUCUUACGUCGCCUUUACCGACUCCGAGCAUCUCAUCGGUGAUGCCGCUAUGAAUCAAGUCGCCUCGAACCCUAUCAACACCGUCUUCGAUGCUAAGAGGUUGAUUGGCCGUAGAUUCAGCGAUCCCUCCGUUCAGUGUGAUAUGAAGUUGUGGCCUUUUAAGAUAAUUUCUGGCCUGGGUGAAAAGCCAAUGAUUGGUGUAAACUACAAUGGUGAAGAUAAGCAAUUUGCUGCAGAAGAGAUCUCUUCCAUGGUACUCUGGAAGAUGCGUGAGAUUGCAGAGGCCUACUUUGGUUCUACCAUUAGGAAUGCCGUUGUUACUGUCCCUGCUUACUUUAAUGAUUCUCAGAUACAAGUUACUAAGGAUGCCGCUCUUUUUGCUGGUCUUAAUGUCAUGGAAAUUAUCGAUGAGCCCACUGCUGCAGCCAUUGCUUAUGGUUUUGACACGACCAGCGUUGGAGAGAAGAAUGUCUUGAUCUUUGACCUUGGUGGUGGUACUUUUGAUGUCUCUUUGCUAACUACUAUUGAAGAGUGUAACUUUCAGGUUAAAGCUACAGCCGGAGACGCCCAUCUUGGAGGUGAGGAUUUUAAUAACAGAAUGGUGAACCACUUUGUUCAAGAGUUCAAGAGAAAGAACAAGAAGGACAUUAGUGGCAACCCAAGAGCUCUUAUGAAGUUGAGGACUGCUUGUGAGAGGGCGAAGAGAGCUCUAUCAUCUACUUCCCAGACCACCAUUGAAAUUGAUUGUCUAUUUGAGGGAAUUGAUUUCUAUACCCCCAUUACUCGUGCCAGAUUUGAAGAGCUCAACUUGGAUCUCUUCAGGGAAUGUAUGGAGCAAGUUGAGAAAUGUUUGAGACGUGCUGGGAUGAACAAAGGAAGUGUCCAUGAUGUUGUCCUUGUAGGAGGUUCUACCAAAAUUCCAAAGGUUCAACAACUAUGGCAGGAUGUCUUUAACGGAAAGGAUCUAUGCAAGAGCAUUAAUCCCGAUGAGGCUGUUGCAUAUGGUGCUGCAGUUUACGCUGCAAUCUUGAGUGGCUGAGUGCAAAAGAAGUGUCUAUGAUGUUGUCCUUGGAGGAGGUUCUUCUAUUGGUAAGAGGGGGGGGGUUUUUUUCAUAUUGAUUGACUGUUUGUUCACUUUGCAUGUUGUUGAUGGCUUCUUAAUUCUUUCACUUUUCCCUUUUUUUUUCUUUCUGAAAUGUGUAUUGUUUUUCCUAUAAUCAUGUUAUCGAUGCAAAAUAUCACCCCAACUUUGCUGAUAUCUAAUCUCUGCCGGGGAACCUGGCUCACCACCUCUCCAAACCACGUUUUUCUCAUCCACAUUGGUCGAAUGGGAAACCUUGUUUAAGAGAUCAGAGUCUAGUUUCACUCAAACCAACAAAAUGCCGACGAACCUGGCUCGCCACCCCUCCCAACCACAUUUUUUUCAUACACAUUGGUUGAACAUGAGACCUUGUUUAAGAGAUCAGAGUUUUUAGGAUGUGAUAGGUAGGUGCAUGCUUAAUGAUGUUGAUAAAUUUGAAAUGGUUUUGUUGAUAACAUUUUGGUUACAACUUACAAGGAAUCGACGAUUCAUUUAUUUUAAUGGAUUUGAGAUGAAUGAAACUUUUUUCAAUAUUUUUUGAAAUUAAAUUAAAUGUCUUUCUGGAUGGACACUUAAAAUUUGAUUCUUAAGAAAAUUUAAUCUGUCCCCUGUUUUCACUUGUGUGGUGCUACAAAUUGUUCAUGAAUCUAUUUAUAUGACAUCAAGAAAAUUUGAGUUUUAUUGUAUCAUAUUGUAAUAAUAAUAAUUCACUUUCAUCAUCAAUGUUCACCCUUACAGUGCUGCUUUAUAAUGUAUGCUUAUAAAUGAUUUCAAUUCUCAUAUUAUGUCGCUUAAGGUUAGCACGUGAAUUCAGAAAUAUGAUUAAUAUCAUAGCCAUAGGUUUUGUUAAGAGUCCCACAUCGGAUAGGUGAUGGCCUGACAAUGUGUUUAUAAGUGGGGGCAAUCCUCACCUCACAAGCCGGUUUUGUCGGGUUGUGUUCGGCCCAACCACAAUUUCUAAGAUGGUAUCAAAGUCUCUCCAAGAUCCAUUUGGCCACCUGCUAUCAGGUUUCCCCUAUCCGGCCAUCCACCAUUUAUGUCCACGAACCAAGGUUUAUAAGUGGGGGCAAUCCUGACCUCACAAACCGGUUUUGUGGGGUUGUGUUAGGCCCAACCACGAUUUCUAAGAGGUUUCAUAAAACAUUAAUAAAGAUUAAGGGUAUGGUACUAAAAAGUAACGAAUACUUCAUUGUUUUUGCAGAACGGCAUAUAAAUUUAGAGAUGCCUCUUUUAGAUAAUUUCUGGACCGGCUGAAAAGCCAAUGAUUGGUGUUAACUACAAGGGUAAUGAUAAGCAAUUAACCGCAGAAGAGAUAUAUUCCAUGGUAGUGGUACUCAUGAAGAUGCGUAAGAUUGUUGAGGCUUACCUUGGCUCUGCCAUGAAGAUGCAUAAGUUGUAAUUUGUUUUGCUUCUUUCCAUUUUGAGCACUCCUCCAGCAAUCUGUUCACAUAGAGAUGUUGGGAGAAGGAGAAAUGUUUGUUGGUGAUUUCCAAAAUAAUGGAAUCACUUUAGAACCAAAAGUUGUAACUCUUCAUGGGAACUAUUCAUAUACAUUGGAACAUUAUUAUUUAUUAUUAAUAAUGAACCAUGACAUUGAUUCAAGUAUAUAUGGUAAUGAUAAGCAAUUUACCGCAGAAGAGAUAUAUUCCAUGGUAGUGGUACUCAUGAAGAUGCGUAAGAUUGCUGAGGCUUACCUUGGCUCUGCCAUGAAGAUGCAUAAGUUGUAAUUUGUUUUGCUUCUUUCCAUUUUGAGCACUCCUCCAGCAAUCUGUUCACAUAGAGAUGUUGGGAGAAGGAGAAAUGUUGUUGGUGAUUUCCAAAAUAAUAGAAUCACUUUAGAACCAAAAGUUGUAACUCUUCAUGGGAACCAUUCAUAUACAUUGGAACAUUAUUAUUUAUUAUUAAUAAUGAACCAUGACAUUGAUUGAAGUAUAUAUGGUUAUAACCUUUGGCAAAAGGGUGCUUAAUGAAUCAUGGCAUUGAUUCAAGUUAAAGAGGUGCUUUCUCUCAUGUGAAGAGUCAUAUAAUGCACUAUAAAUGCUUGACAUUUGGGCAUUAGUUGAAGAUACAAAAACCACACAACUACACACAAUUUGGACAGAAUUUUGUUACAUUAACAACAUAAUUCUUCACCAUUCUAUUAUUCUAAAUCAUCCAUCAAUUCUCUAAUGCAUGAGUGAAUUGCUGGAACCAUAAAUCUGUAAAAUACUGUUAGGAGAUACGCUUGGUGUGGUUGUGCAAUACACGUCAAGGAACUCAUAGUAUCCUGAAGGGGAUUCGCCGGUCAUUCCUAUUGCAUCCAAUAUACAUUUAUUGGUGGGGGCGAAUCGAACCUAAAGGUUAAUGUGGCAACCCCAUACGCUUUGAGUUUUACAUGCAUGAUCAUUAAACAUUUCAGGUUUCAAGUGCAGCAGCCUCUUCCCAACAAACAAGAUAUAUAACAAAUGUUUCUGUUAAACAACAAAAAGAUUGUUUAUUUAUUUAUCUUCUAGUAAUUUGUAUCAAUCAAUGGCACAAGUACAUUACUCAAAUAAGUGGCUUGCCUUCCUGGUUUUGCAGGAAAUACAUAUUGAUCAAAAUAAGUCAAAAAGAUUUCAAACUUAAUUUUCAUUGAUCUAAUAUGCAUUUGGUAGUGAGCUAAUCGGGACAUUGCAAUGAACAGAGCCUAUUUGAAAUGCUUCAUUCCUAGUGACUCGUUCUUAUAGGCAGGUCAAUCCAUUUCAACGAUAGCAACAUGAGUAAUGAUUUUAAGCAGUAGGAGGUUGUCCAACAUUCACUCAAUGCAUUUGACUGAUAGCCCAACAACAUGGCGACCCUCCAACAAGAAGAUCGGAUAUAGCCGGUCGAUCAGCAUCCCGACUUCUGGCAACCCUUUGAUAUAUAUAUAUAUAUAUAUAUAUAUAUAUAUAUAUAUAUAUAUAUAUAGGCCUGCUACAUGCAAACCAACCAAUGGGUUGGCUACUAGCAACUAUCUAACCAACUACCGACAGGCCUGUGGCCUAGAACUUAACAGAUUUGGUGUCAAACAGACAAAUACAUCAUGGCCUGACUGCCAAGGGUGAUGUCGUCGACAAAAUGGGUCCUGAAAGUCAAGGGCCGGCUGAGAAUGGUGCAAGUCCCUGCAGCCUGAAUCAUCGUUAAGUGUUCUCAACAAUCACACUGAGAAAUCCACUUCUUCAUGUAACUACAUAUUUUCUCCAGGAAGGAUAUCAGAUCAAAUACUUGUGAGAGGUUCUAACAGAAUUCCAAAGUUUCAACAACUAUUACAGGAUUUCUUUAACAGAAAGGAGCUAUGCAAUAGCAUUAAUUCCGACGAGGUUGUUGCAUAUGGCACUGCUGUUCAGGCUACAAUCUCGAGUGGUGAGGGCAAUAGAAGGUUCAGGAUCAUCUCCUUUCCUUUUGGAUGUCACCUCGCCAUCUCUUGGUCUGGAGACUGCUGGUGGUGUGAUGAUUGUUCUAAUCCCAAGGGAUACCACCAUUCCAACAAAGAAGGAACAAAUUCGCUCAACCUAUAUUGAUAACCAGCCUGGUGUGUUUAUCCAAGUCUUUGAAGGAGAGAUGAAGAGCAUAAGAAGGAGGUUGAGGCCAAGAAUGCAUUGGUGACUAUAGCUACACCAGCUCAACCCAUAUUUUAAAAAAAUUAAAAAUUAUUGUUUUGCCAACAAGUACCAAGUCAAUGCCUCACAAGCUACCAACAUCACACACAAUAUACAAACAAACAAACACUCAGACUCAGAGAAAUCAAUUUUCCUCAAUUCUCAUAUCAUGAAACAUCCAUCAUUGUCUGUCUCUUGUAGCUUCACCUAUGAUUGUACUUGUGAUGUUUUCCUUAGUUUCAGAGGCAUAGAUAUCCGCAACAGUUUCACCGGUAACCUCUACAGGUCUCUUGAUCAAAAGGGUAUUCACACUUUCAUUGAUGUAGAAGAAAUUCAACAAUCGAGGAUCUACAUUGUUGUUUCUGUUGAGAUAUGCGUAAUAAUAGUAUCAUUGACUGAUAUAUUAUCUCCUUAUUUAUAUUAUCUUUAUUUCCUUGUAAAUAUCUCUUAUAUAAUUAGGACAGAUUUACUCCCUAUGAUCAUGGGAUUUACUUUGUACAUAUUCUUAUUAUAAAUACAAAAGGCUGAGAGCUAAUCUCUCAAGUUAUUCAGCACCAGAAAACCUUGUUCUCAACUUGGCAUCAGAGCUCACGAUCAGUGGGCCUGAGAGCAAAAGUCUAAAAUCUCAAAACCCUAGCCGUCAAGUUACAAACAUAGUUGUCCCGUCGGUUGAUCUAUACCGCCGGCCCUAGGUAUCACCACCGCCUCUGAUAUUAAAUCCUUCUUUGGCUCAGUUUGGUCGGUAGGUUCCACUUUUCCGCUGUGUUUUGGUGAUCUGUGAACAGUUUUUUGCACUGUUCCGAAUCUGUCCUUGGUCCCACUUACACCCAAGUGCUGUCAAAGAUGACUUCAACACCAGAUAAGGCUGGAUCCUUUGUUAAGAGUCUUGUGUCCUAUGUUUUCUCCGACAAUCCCUCUAUAACGUCUGAGAAACUAAAUGGUGAUAAUUAUCUCAAUUGGUCAGCUACUGUUAACAUGUGGUUUCUUGGACAGAAGCUCGCAAAUCACCUCACUAAGCAGUCCUCUGAAAUUGAAAAAGAUCUGCGUGAUGAAUGGGAGCAAGCUGAUUGUCAAUUAGUCUCUCUUUUGUGGCAAACCAUUGAGCCCUCCUUGCUGGUCCAUUAUCGCUCGUACACCACUUGUUAUGAUAUUUGGCAGAAAGCUAAGAAUGUCUAUUCUAAUGAUAUCCAACGUCUUUAUGGUGUGAUUCAUAAUCUAGCCACCCUGCAGAUGACAGAAGAUGACAUCAAAACUUAUGCUAAUAAAGCUCAGUCAGCCGUAACUGAGUUCAAGCUCCUUGUGACCGACAACGACCCAAAGAAGAUGCUUGAGAAAUUGGAUAAUGUUUGCAUGGUUUAUGUCCUUCAUGGUCUUCAUGAAAAGUAUGAGUCAGUUAGGAGCAACAUUCUUUCUGCAUCAGAUAUUCCCUCGGCAGAGGAUCUCAUCAGGCGCCUCACACGCCUUCCUGGACCGAAAGGAUCAGGAGGGAACGGGUCUCAAACUGACUUGGAAUCUUCUGCUUUUGUUUCAAAUUUUGCAGGUCGUGGAGGACGCGGCCGUGGUCGUAGGGGAGGCCGAGGAGGUCGUGGUGGUGGCCGUCCUCAAUGUACUUAUUGUAAACGCUUUGGUCAUUAUGAAGAUCAGUGUUACUCCAUUAUUGGCUUCCCAGAAAAAUCGGUGAAUGUGGCUCAGUCUAUUGAUAAUGGAAACUCCAAAAACAAUGUCAUAUCUGAUAAGGAGUACAAGUCAUACCUGCAGUUUAAGGCUUCACAAGCCUCAUCAUCGGCAACGGUUGCUCACACUGGUAAUUCUGCAGUCUGUCUCUCCCAAUCAUCAUCUGUUGGCCCUUGGAUUUUGGACUCUAUAGCUUCUGAUCAUGUGGCUGGUAAUCCAUCUCUUUUAUCAAAAAUAACCCAACCUAAAAUCCCACAUCAUAUCACUGUUGCAGACGGCUCUAAAGCUAAAGCAAGUGGUGUCGGUCAAGCCACUCCUCUCCCAUCUUUAAAUAUUGACAAUGUUCUUUUUGUUUCCAACUGUCCAUUCAAUUUAAUUUAUGUUAGCCGUUUGACCAAGAGUCUUAAUUGCUCUAUAACUUUCAUUUCUGAUUCUUUUGUUAUACAGGAUCGGAGUACGAAGCAGAUGAUUGGUACAGGCUAUGAGUCACAUGGACUUUACUACCUUCGGUCUUCAUCUACAAUUGCAUCCUCUUCUACUACAGAGUCUCCAAGUCUUCUUCAUCGUCGUUUAGGUCAUCCAAGUCUCAAAAAGCUCAGAGUUAUGGUUCCUAAUUUGUCUCAGUUGCAAUCAUUGGAUUGUGAAUCCUGUUAGCUUGGGAAACAUGUCCGGUCUUCCUUCCCUAGCAGUACUCAGUCACACGCCCACUCUCCUUUUCAUGUCGUUCAUUCUGAUGUAUGUGGACCAAGUCGAGUCACUUCACCUGUAGGACAUAGAUAUUUUGUUACUUUUAUUGAUGAGUUUUCUAGAUGUACAUGGAUCUUCCUACUUAAGGAUAGAUCAGAACUAUUAAGUGUAUUUCAAAAUUUCUUUAAGGAAAUUCAAAAUCAGUUUGGUUGUUCUAUUCGCAUUUUGCGUAGUGAUAAUGCAAAAGAGUAUUUUUCAACAUCUUUUAAUUCUUUUAUGUCUGAAAACGGAGUGAUACAUCAGUCAUCUUGUCCCCAUACCCCACAACAAAAUGGCAUUGCUGAACGUAAACACCGUCAUAUAAUUGAAACAGCACGUACUUUGCUUAUUCAUGCCAAUGUUCCUUUGAAAUUUUGGGGUGAUGCUGUCCUCACUGCAGGAUACUUGAUUGAUAGAAUGGAUUAAUAGAAUGCCAUCAUCUGCAAUCCAAAACAAGGUUCCCCAUUCCAUAUUGUUCCCUGAUGAACCUUUGUUUCGUAUUGCUCCUCGGAUUUUUGGAUCCACUUGCUUUGUUCAUGAUCUUACUCCAGGUUUAGAUAAAUUGUGUGCUCGUGCAAUUAAAUGUGUCUUUCUAGGCUAUUCAAGAGUUCAAAAAGGAUAUCGGUGCUAUUGUCCCUCCACACAUCGCUUCUACAUGUCUGCUGAUGUCACAUUCUUUGAGGAUACACCUUUUUUUGCGUCUUCCAUUGAGUCUGAGUCUAUCUCUCAAGUAUUACCAAUUCCUUUCCUUGUCCCGGUAAUUCCACCCACACCUGUCCCUGUCAUUGAUCAGUCAACUCCAUCCUCUUCUACAGAACCCCCUAGUCCUCCUCCACCUCCACCUCCUCCACUGCAAAUUUAUCAGCGUCGUCCACGUCUCCCUCCUGCCAAUCCACAAUCUACAGAAAGUCCAAGUGACUCAUCUCCUGCCCCAAUCUCCUCUUCUACUUCAGAUCCGCCGACAUUGUCAGAUGACCUUCCUGUUACUUUACGUAAAGGUACACGUUCCACCCGUAAUCCUCAUCCCAUUUAUAAUUUCCUAAGUCAUCAUCGUUUAUCACCUACACACUGCACUUUUAUAUCUUCUCUUUCUUCUGUCACUAUUCCUAAGUCUCCACGGGAAGCUCUUUCACAUCCCAGUUGGCGACAGGCUAUGAUUGAUGAGAUGACAGCCUUGGAAUCUAAUCAGACAUGAACUCUUGUGCCUCCUCCUUCUGGAAAAUCUAUUGUUGGGUGUCGUUGGGUUUAUACUGUUAAAGUUGGUCCAGAUGGGAAGAUUGACUGAUUGAAAGCUCGCUUGGUGGCUAAAGGAUACACUCAGGUGUUUGGCCUAGAUUAUAGCGAUACAUUCUCUCCUGUGGCUAAAAUGGCUUCUGUUCGCCUCUUUCUUUCUAUGGCUGCCAUGCGACAUUGGCCAUUAUAUCAGUUGGAUAUCAAAAAUGCAUUUCUUCAUGGAGAUUUAGAGGAAGAAGUAUAUCUGGAGCAACCUCCUGGUUUUGUUGCUCAGGGGGAGUGUCGUGGGUAUGUUUGUCGUCUUCAUAAGGCCUUGUAUGGUCUCAAACAAUCCCGUCGAGCAUGGUUUGGGAGAUUCAGUAAUGUUGUUCAACAAUAUGGCAUGAAGACGUGUAUGUUGAUGAUAUUGUUGUUACAGGUGAUGAUCAUGAUGGGAUUGCAGGACUUAAACAACAUCUAGUCCAACACUUUCAGGUUAAAGAUCUAGGUCGGUUGCGUUAUUUUCUCGGUAUUGAGGUGGCUCAAUCCAAGGCAGGAGUUUCUAUUUCCCAGAGAAAGUAUGCUCUAGAUAUCUUGGAGGUUGAUUGCAAGCCGAUUGAUACUCCUAUGGACCCAAAUGUCAAGCUGUUACCUGAUCAAGGGGAGACCUUUUCAGAUCCAGGAAGGUACCGGAGGUUAGUUGGGAAGCUGAAUUAUUUGACCAUGACAAGACCUGAUAUUUCAUAUGCAGUCAGUGUUGUUAGUCAAUUCUUGAAUUCCCCUUGUGAUAUUCAUUGGGAUGCUGUGGUUAGAAUUCUAAGAUAUAUCAAGAGAGCCCCUGGAAAAGGUCUUGUUUAUGCAGACAGAGGUCAUUCAGAUAUUGUUGCGUAUACAGACGCAGAUUGGGCUGGAAGUCCGUCUGACAGAAGGUCCACAUCUGGAUAUUGUGUUCUCAUUGGAGGCAAUUUGAUUUCAUGGAAAAGUAAGAAGCAAAAUGUCGUUGCUAGAUCAAGUGCAGAGGCAGAAUAUAGAGCUAUGGCACUUACUACAUGUGAGCUCAUAUGGCUCAAGCAUCUUCUCCAAGAGCUCCACUUCAGUAAAAUAGGCACUAGGAGUAUCAUUUGCGACAAUCAAGCAGCCCUACACAUUGCCUCUAAUCCAGUCUUUCAUGAGCGAACUAAGCAUAUUGAGAUCGAUUGUCAUUUUAUUCGUGAGAAAAUUAUGUCUGGUGAAAUUGCUACUUCUUUUGUUGGUUCUAAUGAUCAACUAGCCGAUAUCUUCACGAAGUCUCUUCGAGGACCAAGGAUCACUUACAUAUGUGACAAGCUUGAUGCAUAUGAUUUGUAUGCUCCAGCUUGAGGGGGAGUGUUGAGAUAUGCGUAAUAAUAGUAUCAUUGACUGAUAUAUUAUCUCCUUAUUUAUAUUAUCUUUAUUUCCUUGUAAAUAUCUCUUAUAUAAUUAGGACAGAUUUACUCCCUAUGAUCAUGAGAUUUACUUUGUACAUAUUCUUAUUAUAAAUACAAAAGACUGAGAGCUAAUCUCUCAAGUUAUUCAGCACCAGAAAACCUUGUUCUCAACUUUAUGGUAUCAGAGCUUGUCGAAUUCAAGGGCCACCUAAACCUAUUCACGCACCAAGCCCAAAGAGUGCUGGGCGUGAGGGGGGUGUAUUGGGAAAAACCCAAGUCCCACAUCGGAUAGAUAAGACUCUUGAGAAGAGUUUAUAAAGAGAAGGCAAUCCUCACCUUACAAGCCGGUUUUGUAAGGAUGAGUUAGGCCCCAAAUUUUAAUAGUUUCCUCAACUUUUUAUUAUUUUUAUGUUUUGUAGGUGUUUGAGUCGUUAAGCUUUCUGGAUUUUGAAGGUUGCAAGGUGUUAACUGAGCUACGUAGCUUAUGUGCACUAGUAUUUAGUCACGAUUCAUAAGUCGAUUGGUUUUCUCAAUAAACUCAUGCUAUUGAGUACUCAAAGAUGCAACCAGCUAAAAUUUUGGUGCCUUACAUCAAUCUGGCAUCUCUAGAGACUCUGGAUAUGAGGGGUUGCUCGUGUCUCAAGAGCUUCCCUGAAGUAUUGGGAGUAAUGGAAAAUACAAGAUAUGUUUAUUUAGACCAAACUUCCAUAGACAAGUUGCCAUUUUCAAUUGGAAAUCUUGUUAGCCUCCAAGACUGUUCUUGAGGGAGUGCAAGAGUCUAACUCAGCUAGUUCUCUUAAUAUCUAUGCCAACAAUGACAUAGAAGUAUGUAAGCCUUCGUUUGUCAGUAAUGAUUUCGGAUUCGUGUUUAAAGGAAUUUUUGAAGGGAGAGUAAAUUGAUACCAGCAAGGAAUCAUCAUUAUGUUUUUGGUUUCGAAAGAAAUUCCCUCAGAUAGCUCUAUGUUGUGCUGGAGAACCUCCUAUGCAUAAAGACAAUAUGUUGUUGGAUUUCAAGUUGAGUGUACUCAUCAAUGGCACUAAGCAAUUCACUUCUUCAUGUAACUACAUAUUUUCUGCAGGAAGGAUAUCAGACCAAAUACUUAUGUGUGAUUUAGUGUGCAAAGUGGAAAAAUCAUUUUUAGAGCAUGAAUGGAAUAAAGUAGAGAUUUUGUAUGAGUUGAAAUACCCUGUGCCAUGUGGCCCUGAAAGAAUAAGGAUCAACCAUGACAGGACCAGAACAAGAAAUCCAUGUUGGUCUCUCAUUUAUGUCAGUGGAGAUAUCAAAGAGGAUGUCAAAUUUCUGUCUGAGUUUAUUGAAUGCAAGGAGGCUGAGAGAAGAAAGGGAACACUAUUGGGUUUUCACUAUAUGCUCAAGCGUUAUGGAUUCCAAUUGGACUGGGUUGUGAUAGAAAAGAUCAAACGUGGUCUAAUUUUAAUUUUCUUAAAAUACUAAGUUACUUUGAAAUAGUUGUUUUUAUCCCCAUCUUUGUCUGAAAACCGAUCCCCCAUUCUAGAGGAGCAAAAAAACCGUUUUCCAGGUUCACUCAUUCAGAAGUGGAAAAAAUAGUGUUUCUUAUCCGUCCAGAACAGUACUUCCAGAUGGAAUCGGUUUUCAAACAAAGGUGAGGGGAAAUAAAAACAGCUCACUUACUUUUAU
RNAcentral lists this long non-coding RNA (74397 nucleotides) under Medicago truncatula (barrel medic). Its description in RNAcentral is "long non-coding RNA (MTRU_LNC008328)". Lineage: Eukaryota; Viridiplantae; Streptophyta; Magnoliopsida; Fabales; Fabaceae. The record is from RNAcentral.